RNAcentral lists this long non-coding RNA (45626 nucleotides) under Triticum aestivum (bread wheat). RNAcentral's name for it is "long non-coding RNA (TAES_LNC006888)". The record is from RNAcentral. Lineage: Eukaryota; Viridiplantae; Streptophyta; Magnoliopsida; Poales; Poaceae.
GAAAAAGGCCUUAGCAGACUCAAAUUAUGCUUUCACCUACUUACACGUGUUUAGCACUGUUUUUGUUUGAGAUCAUAACAUUACUGUCCCUUCUUAUUAAAUUAUCACAUCAGAUUUUAUGUCUACAUCACAGGCUUGGCUCACGUACACGAUGGAACAUUGAAAAGGGCAUCGUCCUUCACCUUGGUUUCAUUGCAGCUGCUGCCCGUCACCUACUUGCGUGUGCUGGAGAUCGUAGUAAUUGCCGCGCACCGCUGCCCGUCGAGAGGGGCGGACUUACCAAAGAAAAGAAAAUUGUGUCGGGAGAUAUCCAAAGAACUGCAAGGUUUUUUAUGUAAAUACGUAUACGCAUAGCUUAUGAUAUCAUUAAAGCGGACCGUAAACCUUCCGCAAUCAUUCGGAUCGUACUGUCCGGACCGCGAAAGCCAUACAACACCGAUCUGUAUCAGUCCGCGAAGCGGUCCGGAUGCGAUUUCCCCCACGAAUCAGAGACAAAAGUGGGGGAGGUUGCGGGAGUCCGGACCGCUCCCAAGCCCGCUUCUUAUCGCCCUGACCCGUCAAAAACCCGUCACCCGCACCUCCCACGCUUUUCUUCCGAUGCACACGCCGCUUACCGUGCCAUAUUCAUGUCGGCCCAGAGCAUGCGGACGCCGGCAUUGAUGACGCGAUGUGACCGAAGGAGGAAGGGCGGCGCUGACCGGCGCGACCUCUUGGCAGUCGCCACUUCAAUGCGGAUGCUGGUUCCCCAGGAACCAACUCGGGCUGUUGCGCCACAUUGAAGCGGUUGACCGGCCUUUCGCAUGGCCUGGCUGUUGCGCCACAUUUAAUCCUCCUCUUCCUCCCUCCUCCUUGCCGCACCCCCUCCACGUCCUCCGGUGAUGGGCAAGUCCUGGUCGUCGGCACUGGCAUGCGGUUCUGGGGCGGGAUCUGGCAGCUCGUGGAGACGCCACCCUCGUCGGCUGGCAGCGACUAGGCACGGGCGGAGAUCAUCAUCUCCUCCGGCGACGAGGGGGACAAGCAGCCGCCCCAGUCCACGCCAGCGGUGCCAGGCUAGGUCUACGGCGGCACCGACACGGAGUUCGAGGAGCAGAUGAAGCUGAUGCUCCGUCACUCCAUCGUCCACACCAACGUCCCAGUUCCGCCACCGGGAGCGUCCUUCCCGUGAAGCUGGAGCUGGCAUUCCCUCCACGCUCUCGGCCGCCGCGUAGCAGCGGCGUCCAAAUCGGACGCCCGUCAAGGAAGAGCAGCUCCCCUCGCCGCCCAUGCGCCAUGAAGGAUGAGCAGCUCUCGCCACUGCCCCGGCGAGCCGUGAAGGUGGAGCGUUGCUCGUCACCGCCUCGCCGUGUCGUCAAGGAUGAGCGCCGCUCGCCCCCCUGCCCAAGGCGCGCGGGCACAUUCUGCACUACUUCCGCGGUGGCUCCUCCUCCUCGUCGUCGUCCCGGAACGCCUUGAUGGUGCAGGAGUACGCCGACCGAGAGCAGCGCCGGCGGGAAAGGCGCAACACCCCGCGCCGAUCCCAGUUCACGGACUCCGACGUCCCGCCGCCACACAUCGCGACGGACCCAGACCUAGAGUAUGCCUAGGCCCUGAACCGCCUCGUGACGACGUCAGAUAUGGCGAAGAGCCGUCUCCGGCACAGGGAGAUGACAGGUACGGUAAGGAAUGGUCCCUCGCCAAGAACGCCGCCACCGCCGAAGACGACGCCUCCAAUGACCGCCACCCUCUCCCCCAGCCCAUGUCCUCCGUAGCCGCGGCCGCAUUGCGCAUGGCGCAGGAGGAGGAUGAGAGGAUCAUCCGCGAGCGUCAAGCAGCCGCCAGAAAGCCUUGUCGCGGCACCACCACCUUCCACCGCCCCAAGCCCAACGAAGAUGACUCCGACUCCGACGAAGGGUCGGGCGACAAUGACGGAGGAGGAGGAGCUGGCCAGCCCGACAUUGGCUACGAGGUCACCAUGAAGUAUAGGAUAGUUUAGGGUUUUAGUUUUAGGUUUUAGUUCACCGGACGAAAUAUCGUCCUGCUUUAUGUACAAAUUAUCCUACUUUCAAUGAAAUCGGCCAUGUUUAUAUAAAAAUUCAUCAUGUUUGCACGAAUUUCGUUCGGUUUGUUUGAGUUGUUUUGAAAAUGUAUGCGGCUAACGUUAGAUGUCGACCUUCCGCAUCUGUGUCCGCGGACUGGCCCCCCUGUCCGCGGACGGAUGCGGGAAUUUUUCUGCGGGUUGCCGUUGAAGAUGCCCUUACAUACAGUCUUAUAAAUUUGAGCGGGGUGCAUCUACCUUUGGUCGGGCACCACUGCAGGGAAUACGUGCUUCCUUUUCCAACUGCUAGCUUAUUGGACAACUCCAACGUGCCAACCCAAAUGGUUCGUACUUGUUCGUUUGAACUAACGAAAACACCGGCCCAACACGCCGACGUAAAUCCAAAAUCCGUCUGCUUGUUGUUCGUUUGGAGGGCUCAUAUUUGUGUUGGAUUUGCAUCCACAUAGAUACAAGAUGGACGCGUCGGCGGCCGCUCGGUGUGCACGUGUCGGCCACCCAACUACCCCACGUGGUCGUAGUUAAUGUGUCCACCUACCUUGGGCUCGCAUGGCAGCGUAUGGAAGCCUCUGGAGUUGACGUAUUUCUNNNNNNNNNNNNNNNNNNNNNNNNNNNNNNNNNNNNNNNNNNNNNNNNNNNNNNNNNNNNNNNNNNNNNNNNNNNNNNNNNNNNNNNNNNNNNNNNNNNNNNNNNNNNNNNNNNNNNNNNNNNNNNNNNNNNNNNNNNNNNNNNNNNNNNNNNNNNNNNNNNNNNNNNNNNNNNNNNNNNNNNNNNNNNNNNNNNNNNNNNNNNNNNNNNNNNNNUCACCCUCACUUCCCCGCCGGUGAUAGGAAACUCUAUUUAGCUCGCCCGUCCGCCAUGGGAUUCUUCAACAGCAAGGGCAAGGGCAGGUGCAAGUUCGAUGCUGGAGCUGGCUCAUCCCACAUGUUGUCGUCGUCGGACGCCUUCACCUUGGUGCCGCGGGCGGGGAGGGCUCGCCGCCCUUGGGACCGGCUCUACAUCCUAGUGCACUGCGUGCAAUACGACUAGCAGUACCGCAUGCCGCUCCCAUGGCCCGACGGCUAGCAACUCGACACGCACCACAUCCCGGUGUCGAAGGUGAUGCGGUCGCUACGUGCGCACGUCGAGGAGGUGCGCAAGAGUUGUGCCGUCCUGACGCUGGAGCAGCGCUGCGACCCAACGUACGUGCCAGACUUCCCCAACUUGGAAGAAUGGUUCACCAUCGAGCACAAAUUGUGAGGUCGUGGCGUCGUCCAGGUUGACUCUGGCUAUGCACUGCCGCCUCUGGCGGUUGCGCAGGAGGACGAGGAGGCGGACGUGGCAUACCAUGCCGCAAUCAAGGAGGCUCUCCAGCGUGCCCUUGAGGAGCCCCAUCGCGAGGAGAACGCGCGCUGGCUGGGCAUGGAAGAGGCGUUGUAGCUGUCGACAGUGGGGGACUAUGUCUAGCCUCCGCCAUAGCCGCCGCUGCCUGAACCUGCGUCGGCCACGCCCAAGGCAGAGCACAUGGAGGUGGUACUGCAACCACCCACCGUUGAGGAAAGGUAUGCAUGGACUGGCGUCCUCCCCAAGUAGGUGAGCACAUCGACCAUCGCACUACGCGCGACGCCAGAGCAGGAGGCGCGUACCUCAAGCACUAGAGGCAGCGCACGCUGGCGGAGGAGCAGGCCGACUGGGAGCGCCAAAUGCAGGACGAGUGUGAGGAGGAGGAGGAGGAGCGUCGUGCCCGCUGGGCAUGGAAGGAAGAGGAGGGUACCGAGAGCAGGAGGUGGAGGAGCAUGCGCCGGGCAACAGAGCCGCCAGUGCAGCAGACAGCGGAGGAGGCGGCACGGGCGGCGUGGCAGCAGGCCUUCCCGUGGGCUACGCUACCGUCAGACUUCGUUGAGCUCACCGGCUCUAAGGACGAUGGAGAUGCCUAGGGCAGCGUGCAGGAUGGUUGGGAGACACGUGUUUUCUUUUUAGUUUUUAAAUUUAUGUUUAAGUGGACUUUGGCCGACGUUGACCGACCAUUUUAAUGUUAAAUUAUGUUUAAUUUGUGCGCAUGUUUUAAACUUUUAUUAAGUCCACGCAGAAAUGCGUUGGCCACCAUUGGGUUAACCGGCCAACCCAAACGAAAAAGCGGACACAUUCGUCCGCUUGACCAACCCAAACAAAAAAAGGUCAAAAUCUACAUCCGUUUGUGUCGGCGUGUUGGAGUUUAUCCUAAAAUCGCCUAUGUUGCUAAUUAGUACUCUCACAUUAUUUUUUCUAGAAGUUGUGAGUCUUUUGAGAACAUCGCCCAUCGACGCAAUACUACUGCACUAUUUCACAAGAUUCCAGAUCCAAAUUUGGUCGUACUUUGACAAAUGAAAAGAAGAAAUUCAAUGCUGAAUUGUAGAGCUCUUGAUUUUUGUCGUUUUUGUUCUUUGAACUAUUUCUUGAAUUAAGAUUUGAAAUUUCAAGACACGAUAAGCGCAUGUUGUCUCAAUGUCAUAAGAACAACAAUUCAUUACAGGGUUCUAGCCUUACUAACAAGCCGUGUACCCAGCUGCAACGCCCUGUCGACAGUAGGCAAGUGCCAAUGGAUCUGUUUUAUUGUGCGGUGCGCCACCCCACUCGCUCUGCGACGCUCCAUCAGUCUCGCUAUGCGGUGCAUACGCGCCUAUCUUGCACUGCGGCGCACCACCGAUCAUGUUGUGUAGCGAGCUGCAGCCUCUCGGCACUGACGCACAUAUCUUGAUCGGCGUUGUCGCGCCCUACGCCAAGGAUAUGCUCAACCCUGGCGAUGAGGCGCAGCACGACGUCAUCCAUCGCGUUGUCGGGGACGCCCUCGGCCUCAACGGGCCGUGGCACCUGCACCGGCCAGCUCAUUUUCCCCGUCGAGGAAUUGAUGGCAGAGCGCUUCGGUGGGUUGGCAUGCUUGUAAAGGUAGAGAGGCUAUAGGUUGCGCUUGUGCCUCCGUGUGCCGCGCGCUGCCUAGACUUAUGCGCAAUCGCUGUUGACGGGAAUCCGAUAGAGAAGUGGCAGGAAACGGUGGCGUGUUCACAAAAUGCCAUUAAUCGAUGGAAAACUUAGUAAAGAAGGAAGCACGAGCUAGCACGACGUGUGUGCCCAACUGAGCAAAUCACAUCGCACACGAACUAAACUAUGGAAUCCAUCGGUGAUGAUUUUAUCAAUCGCUGACAAUUGCAUACCAGCAAUCAUUUGCCCACAACACACACACACACACACACGGCUUAUUAGCAGGAAUUGUCUGUGUUAUUAUCGGUCUUUCCACACAAUUCUGAUUAUUGACUUGUUUAUCGCGUAUCACACAUAUCUUGUUAACCUAAAUUGUUUGUGUUUACUUUGGCUCAUUGCAAACAGUUCAUCCGAGUGAACUGUUUGCCGUCUAUCGCACACACCUUGAUCUGGCUGGCCAUUUUUGUUGUUUUGGCUCAUCGCAAACAGUUAAUCCGAUUAAAUUGUAUGCCGUCUAUCGCACAAACUUUGAUUUGGCUGACAAUUUCUGUUGUUUUGGCUAACCAUAAACAGUUCAUAUGGAUCAACUGUAUGUCUUGUAUCGCACACACGACUCUAAUCUGAAUCAUGCUUCACGCCUCCACCAUCGCACACAGUUCAUUUUAUUGGUGAUGGUUUUAUUACGAUACCGUUUACGAUUCAUGCAAAGCACACAGUUUGGUCGAAGGUCUCCAAUACAUGUGUCGCGUUAGCACCAUUCCGCAGUAGUGUUUUCCUGAUACGUCUUCAUCGUGCUAUAAUUUUUGGUUGUUUCAUGCCAAUAUUACACAAGUUUCACAUACUUUUGGCAACAUUUUAUAUGAUUUAUUGGACUAACCUAUUGAUCCAGUGCCUAGUGCCAGUUCCUGUUUUUUUGCAUGUUUUUUGUUUCGCAGAAUAUCCAUAUCAAACGAAUUCCAAAUGCAAUAAAAUUUUACGAAGAAUUGUUUUGGAACAUAUAUGAUUUUUGGGACUUGGAAUCAACGCAGACAGGGGCCCACAGCCCCCACAAGACACUAGGGUGCGCCCCAAGGGCCAGGCACAUGGUAGUGGGUUGUGCUCACCUCGUACGUCGGUUCGGGCUCUACGGGCGCAGGGAAGCUUAUAUCUAGAAAAAAUUAUGUCAAAAUCUCUGCGCAAUCAGAGUUACGGAUCUCCGGGAAUAUAAGAAACGGCUUUUGACCAGAAAACAGGAAUGCGAAACAUAAGAGAACAGGGGGUAGAUCCAAUCUCGGAGGGGCUCCCGCCCCUUCGCUGCAAUGGAGGCCAUGGACUAGAGGGGGAACUCUCCUCCCAUCUAGGGUGAGGCCAAAGAAGAAGAAGAAGGAGGGGAGCUCUCUCUCAAUCUCUCUCGGUGGCGCCGGAGUGCCGCUAGGGCAAGGAUCGUGAUGGCGAUCUACAUCAACAAUCUUGCUACUGCCAACACCAACUUUCUCCCCCUAAACACAGCGGUGUAACACCCCUUCUCCCCGCUGUAAUCUCUACUUAAACAAGAUGCUCAGCUCCACAUAUUAUUUCUCAAUGAUCUAUGGUUAUCCUAUGAUGUGUAGAUCCGUUUUGUCCUAUGGGUUAAUCAUGAUCUUGGUUGGUAUGAGUGUAUAUUUUAUUUCUGGUGCUGUCCUACGCUGACCUCCGUCUCGUGGAAACAUGAGGGGUCCCCGCUGUAGGGUGUUGCAAUACUUUCAUGUUUUGCUUAUUGUCGGUUGGUGGGGUGACAGUAGCCUGAACAUGGAUAAGUGGGUUAUGGCGUAUGGGAGUAAAGAGGACUUGAUACUUAAUGCUAUGGUUGGGUCUCAUGACCUUAAUGAUCUUUAGUAGUUUCGGAUGCUUGCUAGAGUUACAAUCAUAAGUGCAUAUGAUCCAAGUAGAGAAAAUAUGUUAGCUCAUGCCUCUCCCUCAUAUAAAAUUGCAUGAAUGAUUGCCAGUCUAGUUAUUGAUUGUCUAGGGACAAAUGACUUUCUUGUUGACAAAAGUUAUCAACUUUUAUUACCUUGUGAUGACCCACAAGUGUAGGGGAUCUAUCGUAGUCCUUUUGAUAAGUAAGAGUGUCGAACCCAACAAGGAGCAGAAGGAAAUGAUAAGCGGUUUUCAGUAAGGUUUUCUCUGCAAGCACUGAAAUUGAAGGUAACAGAUAGUUUUGUGAUAAGAUAAACUGUAACGAGUAAUAAGUAAAUAAAGUGCAGCAAGGUGGCCCAAUCCUUUUUGUAGCAAAGGACAAGCCUAGACAAUUUCUUAUAAUGAGAAAAGAGCUCCCGAGGACACAUGGGAAUUAUCGUCAAGCUAGUUUUCAUCACGUUCAUAUGAUUCGCGUUCGGUACUUUGAUAAUUUGAUAUGUGGGUGGACCGGUGCUUUGGUACUGCCCUUACUUGGACAAGCAUCCCACUUAUGAUUAACCCCUAUUGCAAGCAUCCGCAACUACAAAAGAAGUAUUAAGGUAAACCUAACCACAGCAUGAAACAUAUGGAUCCAAAUCAGCCCCUAACGAAGCAACGCAUAAACUAGGGUUUAAGCUUCUGUCACUCUAGCAACCCAUCAUCUACUUAUUACUUCCCAAUGCCUUCCUCUAGGCCCAACUAAUGGUGAAGUGUCAUGUAGUCGAUGUUCACAUAACACCACUAGAGGAAAGACAACAUACAUCUCAUCAAAAAUAUCAAACGAAUACCAAAUUCACAUGACUACUAACAGCAAGACUUCACCCAUGUCCUCAGGAACAAACGUAACUACUCACAAAGCAUAUUCAUGUUCAUAAUCAGAGGAGUAAUAAUAUGCAUUAAGGAUCUGAACAUAUGAUCUUCCACCAAGUAAACCAAUUAGCAUCAACUACAAGGAGUUUCAACCGGACACUGAGAAAGAUAGGGGCUUAUUGUGUUGCCUCCCAAUGUAUUCACCUUUAGGUGAUGUCAACAAUAGUAAUCCAUGCUAACUUACAUCCAAUUGGAUAUAUAUAUCAUGAUCUUUCAAACACGAGGAGCUUGCCAAAGGAUAAAAUAAAAAAGGGAAAGGUGAAGAUCACCUUGACUCAAGCAUAAAGUAAAAACAUAAAGUAAAAGAUAGGCCCUUCGCAGAGGGAAGCAGAGGUUGUCAUGUGCGUUUAGGAUUGGGUGCAUGAAAUCUUAAUGCAAAAGAACGUCACUUUAUAUUGCCACUUGUAUGUGGACCUUUAUUAUGCAGUCCGUUGCUUUUAUUGCUUCCACAACAAGAUCGUAUAAAGCUUAUUUUCUCUGCACUAAUAAGUCAUACAUAUUUAGAGGGCAAUUUUUAUUGCCUGCAACAUGAAAACUUACUUGAAGGAUCUUACUCAAUCCAUAGAUAGGUAUGGUGGACUCUCAUGGCAAAACUGGGUUUAAGGAUAUUUGGAAGAACAAGUAGUAUCUCUACUUGGUGCAAGGAAUUUGGCUAGCAUGAGGGGGAAAGGCAAGCUCAGCAUGUUUGGAAGGUCAAUGACAAUAUACUUUAACUGAGAUGUGAGAAAACAUAAACCAUUAUGUUGUCUUCCUUGUCCAACAUCAACUCUUUUAGCAUGUUAUACUUAAUGAGUGCUUCACAAUCAUAAAAGAUGUCCAAGAUAAUAUAUUUGUAUGUGAAACCUCUAUUUCCUUAUUACUUCCUAUUAAUUGCAACGAUGACCAAAACUACGUUUAUCAACUCUCAACAACUUUUAUGCCUCAUACUUUCUAUGUGUGAAGUCAUCACUAACCAUAAGAUCAAUAUGAACUCUUUUAUUCUCUACUUUCUCAAGAUCAUGGCAAGAUAGCAAAGCCCUUGACUCAACACUAAUCUUUAUUAUAGAUAGCUCACGGACUCGAUUACAUAAAGAGAUCACAAAGCAAAGCUCAAAACUACUUGAUACUAAAACUUCAAUCUACUAGAUCAAGAUACUACUAAAAGGAUCGAACUAAAUAAAACGGUAAAGAUAGGAGUGUGAUGGUGAUACGAUACCGGGGCACCUCCCCCAAGCUUGGCAGUUGCCAAGGGGAGUGCCCAUACCCAUGUAAUUAUGUCCUCGGAGGGGGUGAAGUAGGAGUUGUUGAUGAUGUAGGCUUUUCGUCCAUCUUCCAAGGCAUAGGCUCACCAUCAUAGAAGGAUGAUCGAGUCCUCGGGAUCCUUAAAUCUGCAGCCAAACUCAUCCUCUUGAAUCUAUAUUCAUACUCACAGUUCUGGUUUUGCAGGUCAUAGAUCUGGGCUUGGAGGUGCUCGAUUUUCUCUUGAAGCUUGAAGAUGGUCUCCCCAUUGACUUUGGCAUCUAGCUUGUGGUUGUUAGUGAACUCCGUGAUCAUCAUCUGGUUGGCAUUGAGUCCACGCUCCACCAUCCCUUGGCACUUGAAAACUUGCUACUCCACAGCUUCGAGCUUUGUCUCCAUGCUUCCGGUACGCCUUGGUCCCUCCAUAUCGCGGAUGUGCAGCACCCCCUCGCGCAUCUCAAUGGUUUGAGGGUGUUGCAGCACCUCCGCGAGAUAGGGGUUGAUAACCCUCUCAAAAACUUGUCCUUGGGAGUGCUUGGAGACGUCAUGAUGCUCUAGAUCUGAAACAGAAACAGCUCGAAACGAAAACAGAGGAUAUUUGCGUGAUACGGUGGUCAAAACCUUCGGGAAUUUAUAUAAUGAAUUUUUACCGACCAAAAUACGUAACGUGCAAGAAAACGGAGUCUGGGAGGCACACGAGGUGGCCACGAGACAGGGGGGCGCCCAGUAAGGGUGGGCGCGCCCUCCACCCUCGUGGAGGCCUCGUGUCCUUCCCGGACUACUUCUUUCUUCCUAAAAUUCUUAAAUAUUCCAAAACUGAUAAAAAUUGCCAUUAGAAUUGUUUUGGAGUUGGUUUACUUACCGUACCACAUACCUAUUCCUUUUCGGAGUCUGGAACAUUCUGGAAAGUGUCCCUUAUGUAUUCUUCCGGGGUUACGGUUUCAACAAUAUUAGUUUCAGCAUUGAUAGGAUUACAUGAGAUACAAUGUUUAAUUCUUUGACCGUUCACCACCCUCGGACUUGUGCCUUCGAAGUUGUUGAUUUUUAUGGCACCAGAACGAUAGACCUCCUCGAUAACAUAAGGACCUUCCCAUUUAGAGAGAAGUUUUCCUGCAAAAAGUCUUAAACGAGAGUUGAAUAAUAACACAUAAUCACCUGCGUUAAACUCACGCUUUUGUAUCCUUUUGUCAUGCCAGCGUUUGACUUUUUCUUUGAAUAGCUUGGCAUUCUCAUAGGCUUGGGUUCUCCAUUCAUCAAGUGAGCUAAUAUCAAACAACCUCUUCUCACCGGCAAGUUUGAAGUCAUAGUUGAGCUCUUUGAUAGCCCAAUAUGCUUUAUGUUCAAGUUCUAGAGGUAAAUGACAAGCUUUUCCAAAACCAUCUUAUAUGGAGACAUACCCGUAGGAUUUUUGUAUGCAAUUCUAUAGGCCCAUAAUGCAUCAUCAAGUUUUUUGGACCAAUUCUUUCUAGAUCUAUUGACAGUCUUUUGCAAAAUUAAUUUGAGCUCUCUAUUGCUCAACUCUACUUGACCACUAGACUGCGGAUGAUAAGGAGAUGCGAUUCUAUGAUUAACAUCAUACUUAGCAAGCAUCUUAGGGAAAGCACCAUGAAUAAAAUGUGAACCACCAUCAGUCAUAAGAUAUCUAGGGACUCCAAACCUCGAAAAAAUAACUUCUUUAAGCAUUUUAAUAGAAGUGUUAUGAUCAGCACUACUAGUUGGAAUAGCUUCUACCCACUUAGUAACGUAAUCAACAGCAACUAAAAUAUGUGUAUAACCAUUAGAGGCGGGAAAGGGUCCCAUAUAAUCAAAGCCCCAAACAUCAAACGAUUCAAUAACAAGAGAAUAAUUCAUAGGCAUUUCUUGAUGUCUACUAAUAUUACCAAUUCUUUGACAUUCAUCACAAGAUAAGAUAAACUUACGAGCAUCUUUGAAGAGAGUAGGCCAAUAAAAACCAGAUUGCAGUACCUUAUGUGCAGUUCUAUCUCCAGCGUGGUGUCCUCCAUAGGAUUCAGAGUGACACUUGCGUAGGAUCUGUUCCUGUUCAUGCUCAGGUACACAACGUCUAAUAACACCAUCUACUCCUUCUUUAUAAAGGUGUGGGUCAUCCCAGAAGUAAUGUCUUAAAUCAUAAAACAACUUUUUCUUUUGCUGGUAUGUGAAACUAGGUGGUAUAAAUUUAGCAACAAUGUAAUUAGCAUAAUUAGCAUACCAAGGAGCAAUACGAGAAGCAUUAACGAUCGCUAAUUGUUCAUCAGGAAAGUUAUCAUCAAUAGGCAGUGGGUCAUCAAGAACAUUCUCUAACCUAGACAAGUUGUCUGCAACGGGGUUCUCAGCUCCCUUUCUAUCAAUAAUAUGCAAAUCAAAUUCUUGGAGCAAGAGAACCCAUCUAAUGAGUCUAGGCUUAGCAUCUUUCUUUUUCAUAAGAUAUUUAAUAGCAGCAUGAUUAGUGUGAAUAGUAACUUUGGAAUCAACUAUAUAAGGUCUAAACUUAUCACAUGCAAACACGACUGCUAAGAACUCUUUUUCAGUAGUGGCAUAAUUUCUCUGGGCAGUAUCAAGAGUCUUACUAGCAUACUGAAUAACAUUCAAUUUCUUAUCAACUCUUUGCCCUAGAACAACACCUACAGCAUAAUCACUAGCAUCACACAUGAUUUCAAAGGGUAAAUUCCAAUCAGGUGGCUGAACAAUAGGUGCAGUGAUCAAAGCUUUCUUAAGUAUUUUAAAUGCUUCUACACAAUCAUCAUCAAAGACAAAAGGAAUAUCUUUUUGCAAUAAAUUAGUCAGAGGCCUAGAGAUUUUAGAAAAGUCCUUAAUGAACCUCCUAUAAAAACCGGCAUGACCAAGGAAACUUCUUAUACCUUUUAUGUCCUUGGGACAUGGCAUCUUUUCAAUAGCAUCAACUUUAGCUUUAUCAACUUCAAUACCUCUCUCGGAGAUCUUGUGCCCCAAGAGAAUGCCUUCAUUUACCAUAAAGUGGCACUUUUCCCAAUUCAAGACGAGACUAGUGUCUUCGCAUCUCUGCAAAACUCGAUCAAGGUUGCUCAAGCAAUCAUCAAAAGAGGAUCCAUAAACGGAGAAAUCAUCCAUGAAUACCUCACAAAUCUUUUCACAAAAGUCAGAGAAUAUAGCCAUCAUAUAUCUUUGAAAGGUAGCAGGUGCAUUACAUAAACCAAAAGGCAUACUUCUAUAAGUAAAGUUACCAAAAGGGCAAGUAAAAGUAGUUCUCGAUUGAUCCUUAGCUGACACAGGUAUUUGAGAGAAAGCAGAAUAACCAUCUAGGAAGCAGAAAUGUGUGUGUUUGGAUAGUCUUUCUAGCAUUUGAUCAAUAAAAGGUAAAGGGUAAUGAUCUUUCUUAGUAGCUUUAUUUAAUUUACGGAAAUCAAUUACCAUCCUAUAACCUGUAAUAAUUCUUUGCGGGAUCAAUUCAUCUUUAUCAUUAGGAACAAUGGUAAUGCCUCCCUUUUUAGGAACACAAUGGAUAGGGCUUACCCAAUCACUAUCAACAAUGGGAUAAAAUAUACCUACCUCAAGGACCUUUAGUAUCUCCUUUCUUACCACUUCUUUCAACUUAGGAUCCAAUCGUCGUUGAGGAUCUCUAACUGGUUUGGCAUCAUCCUCCAAAUUAAUUUUGUGUUGACAUAACGUGGGACUAAUGCCCUUGAGAUCAUCCAGAGUAUAUCCAAUGGCAGCACGGUGCUUCUUCGGAGUUUUCAAUAAUCUUUCUUCUUCUUGCUCUGAAAGGUUAGCACUAAUAAUAACAGGAUAUAUUUUCUUUUCAUCAAGAUAAGCAUACUUAAGAUUAUCUGGUAAUGGUUUGAGCUCAAACACGGGAUCACCCUUGGGUGAAGGGGGAUCCCCUAGAAUUUCAACGGGAAGGUUAUGUUUCAAAAUAGGUUCCUGUUGAAGGAACACUUUAUCUACUUCCCUUCUUUCCUUCAUAAACAUAUCGUUUUCAUGGUCUAGCAAAUAUUGUUCUAACGGAUCAGUAGGAGGCACGGCAAUAGAAGCAAGAGCAAUAAUCUCAUCCUUACUAGGUGAUUCUCUAUCACGAGGUUGUCUAUGAAACUUAGCAAAAUUAAGCUCAUGAGACAUACCCUCUAAGCCAAUUGUGACAUUAUCCUUUUCACAAUCAAUCCUAGCAUUAACUGUAUUCAAGAAGGGUCUACCAAAAAUAAUGGGACAAAAGUCAUCUUGUGGGGAACUAAGAACAAGAAAAUCAGCAGGGUAUUUAACCUUCCCACACAAGACUUCAACAUCUCUAACAAUCCCAAUUGGUGAAAUAGUAUCUCUAUUGGCCAGUUUGAUAGCAACAUCAAUACCUUCCAAUUCAACGGGUGCAAUGUCAGGCAUAAUCUCUUUAUAUAAAUCAUAGGGUAUUGCACUAGAACUAGCACCCAUAUCACAUAAGCCGUGAUAACAAUGAUCUCCUAUUUUAACAGAAAUAACAGGUAUGCCUACCACAGGUCUAUGUAUCUUAGUAUCUGGUCUAACAAUAUUAGCAGUCUCACCACAGAAAUAAAUAACAUGCCCAUUUAAAUCAUCAUCCAAGAGAUCUUUAACCAUAGCAAUACUAGGUUCAACUUUGAUUUGCUCAGGAGGUGUAUAAGUCCUAAUAUUACUCUUACAAAUAACAGCCGAAGUUUUAGCAUGAUCCUUUAUCCUAACAGGAAAAGGAGGUUUCUCAACAUAAGUUGUAGGAACAAUAGGAUCACUAUAAGUGACAGUCUUUUCUUCAACUGCAAUAGGUGCAACUACUUUUACUUCAAUGGGAGGAUUAUAUUUAAACCACUUCUCCUUAGGGAGAUCAACGUGAGUAGUAAAAGAUUCACAGAAAGAAGCUACUAUCUCAGAGUCAAAUCCACAUUUAGCGCUAAAUCCACGAAAAGCAUCGGUAUCCAUAAAAGAUUUAACACAAUCAAACUUAGGUGUCAUACCUGACUCCUUACCAUCGUCGGAACCCCAAUCUUCAGAGUUGCGUUUAAUUCUUUCCAAUAAGUCCCAUUUGAAUUCAAUAGUCUUCAGCAUAUAAGAACUAGCACAGGGAGUAUCGAGCAUGUUGCGAUCAUUGAGAGAAAGCCGAGUAUAAAAAUUUUGAAUAAUCAUUUCUCUAGAGAGCUCAUGAUUGGGGCAUGAAUAUAACAUUGACUUAAGCCUCCCCCAAGCUUAAGCAAUGCUUUCUUCUUCGCGAGGCCUGAAAUUAUAUAUGUAAUUACGAUCACGAUGAACAAGAUGCAUAGGAUAGAACUUCUGGUGAAAUUCCAACUUCAAUCGUUUAUAAUUCCAAGAUCCCGUAUCAUCACAUAGCCUAUACCAUGUCAAUGCAACUCCCUUCAAAUAUAAAAGGAAGACCUUCCUUUUGACAACAUCAUCGGGAAUACCUGCAAGCUUAAAUAAUCCACAAACUUCAUCCACAAAGAUAAGGUGUAAAUCAGGAUGCAAUGUUCCAUCUCCUGCAAAUGGAUUAGCUAGCAGAUUCUCUAUCAUACCUGAAGGAAUAUCAAAGUAAAUAUUUUCAGUAGGUUCAGUAGGUUGAGGAGCAACUCUUUGCUCUUUUGGUCGGGGUGAAGAUACCCCGAACAAGCCCCUCAAAGGAUUAGUUUCCAUAGUAACAAGUGAUAGAAAAUUUCAGCACACAAUAUGAAUGUUUCCUUACCAAGUUCCACUCACCAAAAGCGCUACGCUCCCCGGCAACGGCGCCAGAAAAGAGUCUUGAUGACCCACAAGUGUAGGGGAUCUAUCGUAGUCCUUUCGAUAAGUAAGAGUGUCUAACCCAACGAGGAGCAGAAGGAAAUGAUAAGCGGUUUUCAGUAAGGUUUUCUCUGCAAGCACUGAAAUUGAAGGUAACAGAUAGUUUUGUGAUAAGAUAAAUUGUAACGAGUAACAAGCAAAUAAAGUAAAUAAAGUGCAGCAAGGUGGCCCAAUCCUUUUUGUAGCAAAGGACAAGCCUGGACAAUUUCUUAUAAUGAGAAAAGAGCUCCCGAGGACACAUGGGAAUUACCAUCAAGCUAGUUUUCAUCACGUUCAUAUGAUUCGCGUUCGGUACUUUGAUAAUUUGAUAUAUGGGUGGACCGGUGCUUUGGUACUUCCCUUACUUGGACAAGCAUCCCACUUAUGAUUAACCCCUAUUGCAAGCAUCCGCAACUACAAAAGAAGUAUUAAGGUAAACCUAACCACAGCAUGAAACAUAUGGAUCCAAAUCAGCCCCUAACGAAGCAACGCAUAAACUAGGGUUUAAGCUUCUGUCACUCUAGCAACCCAUCAUCUACUUAUUACUUCCCAAUGCCUUCCUCUAGGCCCAACUAAUGGUGAAGUGUCAUGUAGUCGAUGUUCACAUAACACCACUAGAGGAAAGACAACAUACAUCUCAUCAAAAAUAUCGAACGAAUACCAAAUUCACAUGACUACUAAUAGCAAGACUUCACCCAUGUCCUCGGGAACAAACGUAACUACUCACAAAGCAUAUUCAUGUUCAUAAUCAGAGGAGUAAUAAUAUGCAUUAAGGAUCUGAACAUAUGAUCUUCCACCAAGUAAACCAAUUAGCAUCAACUACAAGGAGUAAUCAACACUACUAGCAACCCACAGGUACCAAUUUGUGGUUUUGAUACAAGAUUGGAUACAAGAGAUGAACUAGGGUUUUGAGAGGAGAUGGUGCUGGUGAAGAUGUUGAUGGAUAUUGACCCCCUCCUGAUGAGAGGAUCGUUGGUGAUGACGAUGGUGAUGAUUUCCCCCUCCCGGAGGGAAGUGUCCCCGGCAGAAUAGCUCUGCUGGAGCUCUAGAUUGGUUCCGCCAAGGUUCCGCCUCGUGGCGGCGGAGUUUCGUCCCGUAAGCUUGCCCCUUAUUUUUUCGAGGGUAAAAGCCUUCAUAUAGCAGAAGAUGGACAGCGGAGGGCCACCAGGGGGCCCAGGAGACAGGGGGCGCGCCCAGUAGGGGCGGGCGCACCCCCACCCUCCUGGCCAGGGUGUGGGCCCCCUCUCGUGUUUCUUCUGCUCAAUAAUUCUUAUUAAUUCCAAAAAUAAGUUUCGUGGAGUUUCAGGAUUUUUGGAGCAGUGCAGAAUAGGUUUCCAAUGUUUGCUCCUUUUCCAGCCAGAAUUCCAGCUGCCGGCAUUCCCCCUCUUCAUGGUAAACUUUGUAAAAUAAGAGAGAAUAGCCAUAAGUAUUGAGAUAUAAUGUGUAAUAACAGCCCAUAAUGCAAUAAAUAUUGAUAUAAAAGCAUGAUGCAAAAUGGACGUAUCACCUUGCAAUUUAUCCCUAGUUUUAUUCUUGCAAAGUACUCGUAGUUUUAUUCUUCCCAAAUAGUUUUAUACUUGUUCUAGGUAAAACAAAUGUCAAGUGUGUGUAGAGUUGUAUCGGUGGUUGAUAGAACUUGAGGGAUUAUUUGUUCUACCUUUAUCUUCUCAUUGGGUUCGACACUCUUAUUUAUCAAACAAGGCUACAAAUGAUCCCCUAUACUUGUGGGUUAUCAAGACCUUUUUCUGGCGUUGUUGCCGUGGAGCAAUAGCGUGGGGUGAAUAUUCUCGUGUGUGCUUGUUUGCUUUAUCACUAAGUAGUUUUUAUUUUCUGUUCUAAGUUGUUCUAUAUCUUUAGUUAUGGAUAUGGAACAAGAAACACCAAAAAAUUGUACUUGCUACUCAUGGAGACGGGGAACCUCCUAAAACCCUCGAAGCUCGUUAUGUGAAAAAUAUUAAACACUACUUUGAUAAUCCUGAGAAAAUAAAAACUACACAAUAUGAAUUAUGCUUAUGGAGAUGAACUUGCUAUGGUUCCUUAUGUUAAGAAUGAAAUUGUUGCUAUUGCACCCACACAUGAUAGUCCUAUUAUUUUUUGAAUUCUCCAAACUACACAAUAUCGGAGAAGUUUGCACUUAUUACGUACAUUGAUGGGUUGCCUUUUAUCGUUGCACAUGAUAAUUUUGAUGAAUAUAAUAUGCAUGUGCUUGCUGCUCCUAAUUGCAAUUAUUAUGAGAGAGGAACUAUAUCUCCGCCUCUCUAUGUUUCCAACAUGAUAAAAUUGCAAGAAAUUUCUUAUACUAUGCAUUGGCCUUUACUUGAUAUGCAUGAAUUCUUCUUUUAUGACAUGCCGAUGCAUAGGAAGAGAGUUAAACUUCGUCAUUGCAUGAUAUAUGUUGCUUUGUAUUCACUACUAAAUGCCAAAUCAUUGUUAACUAAAAUUGGCUUUGAUAUACCUUGGGAUCCGGGUGGAUCCAUUACUUGAGCACUUUAUGCCUAGCUUAAUGGCUUUAAAGAAAGCACUGCCAGGGAGACAACCCAGAAGUUUUAGAGAGUCAUUUAUUUCUGUCGAGUGCUUCUAUAAAGUUUAAAAACAAAAAAUAUAGAGGGGGACCUAAAUUUGUUUUCAAAAAGAGAAGUGAUUGAAAGGUGAUGCAUUGGAGAAAUGAGGGUCGACCUUUAACACUUGUGUUCAUGCUCAUGGAAACAAUGUAAAAUUUUCAUGAAAGUUCUUGCAAAACUAAUUACCCCCUUGUACAAAUCCAUUGUAUUAUAAAAAUAAUGUGCCAAGAUUUGCCUUUAGGAUGAGUAGAUUGCUUGUUGGUAUGUGCGGUGCAAAAAACAGAAACUUUGGUUGUAGUGCGCGAUUUUACAUUUUUUUACUGGAAUGUCAAAAGUUUCUGAAACUUUUUGCAUAGUAUUGCUAUAAGAAUGUUUUAUUUUUCCUAAUUUUUAAGAAUUUUUGGAAUUAUAUAAGUAUGGAAGAUGUUCAGAUUGCUACAAACUAUCAUGCUUAAGACAUAUUUUGUUUUUGAUGCAUUGUUUUGCUUGUUUUGAUGAAACUAUCGAUUCUAUCGGUGGUAUAAGCCAUGGAAAGUUAUAAUAUAGUAGCUAAAAUGCAAAAAUAAGAUAUGAAUUGGUUUGCAAUAGUACUUAGAGUAGUGAUUUGCAUUACUAUACUAACGGAUCUCACCAAUUUUUCUGUUCAGUUUUGUGUGGAUGAAGUGUUCAAAGAUCGAGGAAGUCUUGAUAUGAGGAGAAGGAGACGAGGCAAGAGAUCAAGCUUGGGGAUGCCCAAGGCACCCCAAGUAAAUACCCAAGGAGACUCAAGCGUCUAAGCUUGGGGAUGCCCCGGAAGGCAUCCCAUCUUUCUUCAACAAGUAUCGGUAUGUCUACGGUUUCGUUUCGUUCAUGUGAUAUGCGUAAAUCUUGGAGCAUCUUUUGUGUUUAGUUUUUACUUUUCUUUUAUGAACCAUGCUGGUAUGAGAUAGUACAUGGUUGAUUUAUAGAAUGCUCAUUGCAAUUCACUUAUAUCUUUUGAGUAUGGCUUUAUAGAAUGCUUCAUGUGCUUCACUUAUAUCAUUUGAAGUUUGGAUUGUCUGUUUCUCUUCACAUAGAAAACCAAAUGCUCUUUUGCUUCAUUUAUAUUUAUUAGAGCAUGGUCUUUUCUGGAAAGAAUUAAACUCUCAUGCUUAACUUUUAUCUAUUUAGAGAGUGAACAGGAAUUGUUCUAUUGCAUGGUUAGUCAUAAAAUCCUACAUAAAACUUGUGGAUCACUGAAUAUGAUAUGUUUGAUUCCUUGCAAUAGUUUUGCGAUAUAGAGAUGGAAUAUGUGGGAGGUACUAGUGGAUGAUCGUGUUUAGUAACAUAUUGGUGUUAAGGUUUGUGAUUCCCGAAGCAUGCACGUAUAGUCUCUCGUUAUGUUAUGAAUUUGGAGCAUGAUUUAUUAUUGAUUGUCUUCCUUUGCGUAGAGGUCGGGGGCGCGCGAUGGUUAACUCCUACCAACCCCCCCUAGGGGCAUGCGCAGUAGUACUUUGCUUCGAGGGCUAAUAAACUUUUGUGGUAAGUAUAUGAGUUCUUUAUGACUAAUGUGAGUCCAUGGAAUAUAUGCACUCUGACCUUUCCACAAUUUGCUAUCCUCUACGGUAACGUGCAUUGCCUUUUCUCACCUCGAGAGUGGGUGCAAACUUCGCCGAUGCAUCCAAACCCCGUGGUAUGAUACACUCUAUCACACAUAAGCCUUAUUAUAUCUUCCUCAAAACAGCCACCAUACCUACCUAUUAUGACCUUUCCACAACCAUUCCAAUAUAUAUUUCCAUGCAACUUCCACCGCUUUCGUUUUGAUGACUUGAGCAUUCAUUGUCAUAUUGCUUUGCAUGAUCAUAUAGCUGACAUAGUAUUUGUGGCUCAGCCACCGUUCAUCAUUUUUAUACAUGUUACGCUAGAUCAUGCACAUCCUGGUACACUGCCAGAGGCAUUCAUAUAGAGUCAUAUUUUGUUAUAGGUAUCGAGUUGUAAUAUUGAGUUGUAAGUAAAUAAAAGUGUGAUGAUCAUCAACUUUCAUUAUUAGAGCAUUGUCCCAGUGAGGAAUGGAUGAUGGAGACUAUGAUUCCCCCACAAGUCGGGAUGAGACUCCGGACAAAGACGGAGAAAAGAUAAAAAGAAAAGAAAAAAGAAAAAAGAAAAAAAAGAAAAAGAAAAAGAAAAAAGAGACAAAUAGAGAAGGGGCAUGCUAAUUCCACACUUGUGGUUCAAAGUAGCACCAUGUUUUUCAUAUGGAGAGUCUCCUAUGUUGUCACUUCCAUAUACUAGUGAGAAUUUUUCAUUAUAGGAUUAGAUGCACACCCACUUAGUUUUCAUGUUGAGCUUUCAUACACUUAUAGCUCUUAGUGCGUUUGUUGCAUGGCAAUCCCUACUCCUCACAUUGAUAUCAAUUGAUGGGCAUCUCCAUAGCCCAUUGGUUAGCCGCGUCGAUGUGAGACUUUCUUGCUUUUUGUCUUCUAUAUAUUUAACCCUAUCAUCAUACUCUAUUCCAGCUAUAGUGCUAUAUCCAUGCCUUUCUCAUGUAUUGAGUGAGAGUUGAAAAGGCUGAAGCGCGUUAAAAAGUAUGAACCAAUUGCUUGGCUGACACCGGGGUAGUACAUGAUAAAUACUUUAUGUUAAGAAGAUGGAGCAUGACAAGACUAUAUGAUUUUGUAGGGAUAGCAUUCUUUAGCAUUGAUAUUUUAAAAAACAUGAUUGUUUGUUGGGAUGCCUGAGUAUUGAUGUCUUUAUGUCAAAUUAUAGACUAUUGCUUUGAAUCACUCGUGUCUUAAUAUUCAUGCCACGAUUAGAUAUAUGAUCAAGAUUAUGCUAGGUAGCAUUCCACAUCAAAAAUUAUCUUUUUUAUCAUUUACCUACUCGAGGACGAGCAGGAAUUAAGCUUGGGGAUGCUGAUACGUCUCCGUCGUAUCUAUACUUUUUUAUUGUUUCAUGCCAAUAUUAUGCAAGUUUCACAUACUUUUGGCAAAAUUUUAUAUGAUUUAUUUGACUAACCUAUUGAUCCAGUGCCCAGUGCCAGUUCCUGUUCUUUGCAUGUUUUUUUGUUUCACAGAAUAUCCAUAUCAAACAAAGUCCAAAUGCAAUAAAAUUUUAUGGAGAUUUAUUAUGGAAUAUAUGUGAUUUUUGGGACUUGGAAUCAAUGCAAACGGGGCCCAUAGCCCCCACAAGACACCAGGGCACGCCCCAGGGGCCAGGCGCGCGAUGGUGGGUUGUGCUCACCUUGUACGUCGGUUGGGGCUCUACUUUAGGCGGAAGGAAGCUUAUAUCCGAAAAAAAUCGUGUUAAAAUCUCAGCGCAAUCGAAGUUAUGGAUCUCCGGGAAUAUAAGAAACGGUUUUCGGCCAGAAAACAGGAACACGAAACAGAAGAGAACAUGGGGAUAGAUCCAAUCUCGGAGGGGCUCCCGCCCCUCCACCGCCAUGGAGGCCAUGGACCAGAGGGGGAACUCUCCUCCCAUCUAGGCGGGAGGCCAAGGAAGAAGAAGAAGGAGGGGGCUCUCUCCCCCUCUCUCUCGGUGGCGCCGGAGUCUCGUUGGGGCAAGGAUCGUGACGGCGAUCUACAUCAACAAUCUUGCUACAGUCAAUACCAACUUUCUUCCCCUCUAUGCAGUGGUGUAACACCCCUUCUCCUCACUAUAAUCUCUACUUAAACAUGGUGCUCAACUCCAUAUAUUAUUUCCCAAUGAUCUAUGGUUAUCCCAUGAUGUUUGAGUAGAUCCGUUUUGUCCUAUGGGUUAAUCGUGAUCUUGGUUGGUAUGAGUGUAUAUUUUAUUUAUGGUGCUGUCCUACGGUGCCCUCCGUCUCACGCAAACGUGAGGGGUCCCCGUUGUAGGGUGUUGCAAUACUUUCAUGGUUUGCUUAUUGUCGGCUGUCGGGGUGACAGCAGCCUGAAAACGAAUAAGUGGGUUAUGGCAUAUUGGAGUAAAGAAGACUUGAUACUUAAUGCUAUGGUUGGGUUUCAUGACCUUAAUGAUCUUUAGUAGUUGUGGAUUAUUGCUAGGGUUCCAAUCAUAAGUGCAUAUGAUCCAAGUAGAGAAAGUAUGUUAGCUCAUGGCUCUCCCUUAUACAAAAUUGCAUGAAUGAUUUGUCACAUCCCUAGCUUCUGGCUUUGCAUUAGGCUAGCUUCAUGCAUGCAUCAUGUUUAAAUUUUAUUUAACUUGAAAUGGGGAUUGCUCAAACCCUAGCACCAGAUCAAAUCAACUAGGUUCAAAUAAAAAAAUAUUCUCAAUGAACCCAAAAUGCCUUCAGAAAAGUUCAUCAUAAUUGAUUGGUUUAAAACCUCUGCCAAAAAUGGUGCACAUAUUUCUAGGUCCAUUUUGGAUUUUCGAAUUAAUUCAUAAAGUAUUUGAAUUUGGGAAUUUAAAUGCUAUAAAUAAUUUAAAUGCUCAAAUAAUUCUGAAACUAAAUGUGGGUUGUUGCAUAUAUUUCAGAAGGUGGCCACAAUUAUUUUCAGGAUUUUUAGAAGUGCUCUGGUAUUUUUAAUAAAGCCCAAACAACUACAAAAAAAUAGAAAAUAGAAAUAAAAUAGAAAGAGAUAAGAUAGAGAAAGAGAGAGGAAGCCCACCUGGGCCACUUACCUGGUCGGCCCAGUUGGCAGCCCAGCCAACAUGCCCAGCCCACCAGGGGCAGCGCUGUCUUCUUCCUCCUGCCAGGAGGAGAAGCAGCUGCGUGCCUGGCGCAUAGCCGAGCCGCUCCAGCUCCUCCCUGCAUGCAUGCCGCCUCCUCGACUCCUCCAGACGUGCCACGGAGAUGCCCAGCACCCCCUGCACCCAUAUCCUCUCUCCUUGGACCUCUCUCCCUCCUCUGCUCUCUCCCUACGACACCACCGAACACGGCCAUCACCGCCGUUCGCCGUUGCCACGACCACCGCCGUCCCGAUGAUGCCCCGAGUUGUUCCCGAGCUCCUGCACCUCGUCCCCAACCCCCUCACCGAGCCACGCGACUGGAAGACCCCCGAAGCACCGCCCCUACAUCUUCUUCCUCCUCGGGUCUCCGAGAUCGCCGGCGGCCGCGCGUUGAUUCACUGGAACCAGGACCUCCCCGAGCCCGGCGAGCUGUUCUUCGAGAUCGUUGUGAGCUCCUCUUCCUUUCCCCUCAUAUUCCAUGGUGAUUUUCGUUCGUUAGCUCGAUUUCCGCCAUUGCCGAGAGCGCCCGCCGCCGUGUCGCAUCGCCGCUGUGGCCUGAGCUCGACCUGCUCCCGUCCGAGCAUGCAGUAGUGCUCCAGGAGCUCCCAUGGUGCUCAUGUGCUACUCACCUGCUCUAUAGCAAGCUGCAACCCCGCGCACGAUCGAACCCGAGCCGCUGCCACCGCCGAACCUCGUCGCCGACCACUCUUCCAGCGACUCCAGCACCAACCGCCACCACCCCUAGAUGCGCUGCACUGCCAGCUUUCCAACGGGACCGACCGCGCCCCGAACCGCCCCUUGUAUGUGAAACCCGAGCCUCUCCGGCGAGCCACCACCGCGGAAUGUGGUCGCCGGCGAGUAACCCCGGUGACCGCUGACGUGGCACCCCCAUUAGCCACUAAUGACCCUAGUAACUAAAACCCUGACCCACUUACAUAUGGGCCCCACGCCCUUAAUUAACCAUAGUUUAAUUUCUGUUUAGUUUUAACUAAUCACAGUGGCCCACGCGUCAGCACUGACCUUGCUGAUGUGGCCAUUGACCGACCCCACCUGCCAGUGACCCAGGGCAGCACUGUGUCGCUGACCAGUGGGACCCACUGGUCAGAUUUGACCCGGCUGACCUCUGUUGACCUAAUGAUGUCAUGCUGACGCAGUGCUGACGCAAUAUUCCUUUUCUGGAAUUUAGCUUAAUUUCUAAAUAAUCAGGAAAAUCCAGAAAAUGUUUAAAACUUCUAAAAUUCCUAUAAAAUCAACCGUAACUCCAAAUGAAAUAUUUAUAUAUGAAAAAUGAUCAUAAAAAUACAAUCUAUCCAUUUGUACCAUUUGCAUGCAUGUUUGAGCAAGUUAACUUCACUUUUUAGGAUGAAGCAUGAAUAGGACAACUUUGAUGAUAGUUUUGGAGUUGGAAUUGAUGUAGUAUUGAAUUCCACUUCAAUCAAAUGACUUGCUGUUGCAUUAGCCCAAAUCACAGCAUAUUGCCAUGUCAUGAGCAUGCAUCAUAUUGUUGCAUUGCAUUGAUUGUGUUUCCUUCUCUGUUGCCAGCAAUUGUCCCCUCUCAGUAGACGUGGUUCCGACGAUGAGAUCGAUGACACUGAUGAAGAGAUAUACUAUCUUCAGAAAUGCCAGGCAAGCAAAAACCCCUUGUUAAUUCCGAUACAAUCCCACUCUCUUGCUCUUGCUCUCUUUUACUGCAUUAGGACAACAACGAUUCAUCUGUUACAUGUUGCGGUAGCUGAACCCCUUUCCUCUUCAUGACCUGUCAUUGCCACAGUAAAUAAAUGAAACCCACUAGCAUGAGUAGGAGUUGUUUGAGCCCUGUUGUGCCUACUCAUACUUGCUUGUUUGUCAUGCCUGCUACUGCUUAGAGUUGAGUCAGGUCUGAUUCAUCAGGGAUGAACUGGAACAGUGAUGAACAUGUCCUACUGUGUGUGUGAGCAAAGUGUGUGAACACGAUUUGGUAAAGGUAGUUAUGAGAGGCCAUGUAGGAGUACAUGGUGGGUUGUCUCAUUGAAACCGUCCUCAGGAACUGAGUUCUGUGUUGCUAUCCAUGAACAGUUACUACCACACAUUGGGUUUCGGUAACUCGACCCCUCUCGACUUAUUAAUCAACUCGAUCUCUGUCCAAGAGUUGCAACUAGUUUCUGGUGUUUGUAGGUGGUGUUAGUAGUCUACCAAGUGGCACCCGAUACAGGUGGGCUUGGGACAGACUAGGCACAGUGGCACGGUGUACCAAGUGGCACCCAGAUGGUGGGCUUGGGAACCCUGCACACUUCGUUUGGGGUCGUGAGCGACACCCCGGCCGGAUCUCCUUGCUGAUGGAACCCGAAUAGGCGAUAAGCCUGGAUGAGAGACUUGUGUGGUUAGUCAGGUCGUGGCUGACACCCUCACUGGGCUUUCGCUUGAAGGUUGCCGAGUACAUGUCGUGUAAACGGCGAUAAGUGGUGAGAGCGUGUGUGAAGAAGUACACCCCUGCAGGGUUAACAUUAUCUAUUCGAAUAGCCGUGUCCGCGGUAAAGGACUUAUGGGUUGCCUGUACAGUUCAUAGACAAGUGAAAGUGGAUACUCUAAAAUACGCAAGAUAAGCGUGAGUGCUAUGCAUGGCGUUCUCGUAGGGAGAUGGGAGCGGAUCCAUAGUGGUGUAUUGAAAUGGUGAAUAUGUGGACUCGUGUGCGCCACCUCAAAAGAGUUACUUGCAGUCGUAGUUCAGGAUAGCCACCGAGUCAAAGCUGGCUUGCUGCAGUCAAACCCCACCAACCCUUUGUUGAUAAUGAUGCAUAUGUAGUUAGAUCUGAUGUAAGUCUUGCUGGGUACAUUUGUACUCAUGUUUGCUUAAUCUAUGUUUUUUGCAGAGAGACUUCAGUCUCGCUAGUAGUUCCGUGUAGACUUCGACGUUUAGCUUGUUACCUCAGCUACGAUCUUGUGCCCUCGGCAGGAUCUGGUAGAUAGUUAGGCUUCUCAGCGUCUUUCAUUUGUAGAUGUCUGUACUCAUACAUGUUAAGCUUCCGUUUUGUGCUUUGACUUGUGUGCUCUGAAUGUUGGGUCAUGAGACCCAUGUUUGUAAUAUCUCACUCCUCGGAGCCUAUUGAAUAAGAUACUUGAGUUGUAGAGUCAUGUUGUGAUGACAUGUUGUAUUUGCACAUAUCGAGCAUAUUGUGUGUAUGUUAUUGAAAUGCUUGGUAUGUGUGGGAUCUGACUAUCUAGUUGUUUAUUCUUGGUAGCCUCUCUUACCGGGAAAUGUCUCCUAGUGCUUCCACUGAGCCUUGGUAGCUUGCUACUGCUCCGGAACACUUAGGCUGGCCGGCAUGUGUCCUUCUUCGUUCCUGUGUCUGUCCCUUUGGGGAAAUGUCACGAGGUGUCUACCGGAGUCCUGUUAGCCUGGUACAACCCGGUUUACUGGAGUCCUGCUAGCCCAGUUGCUACAGCCCGGAUUCACUCGUGAUGACCGACACGUUCGUCGCUGGGUCAUGUAUGCUUGUCCCUGUAAGUUAGUGCCACUUUGGGUUCACGACUAGCCAUGUCAGCCUGGGCUCCUUGUUGAUAGAGGCAAAGUGUCCCGUCUUUUGAUGAGAUGAUGGAUUUCGCUUUGGUGGAAGUCGACUUUGACAAUCCGACUAUGAACGUGCGAGGAUGUCGCGCCUUAGCAAUUGCUAAACCAACUCCGAGAGGUUAUUGACCACGCUGGAGCACGAUCAACCUGACCACGAGGGUCUGUUUCCUGCGAGCAAAUGAAGAACAAGCAAGAAACUGAGAUUGCAAUCUAGAUAUUGCGAAUAUAAGAUGAAAGCUUUAUUGAUCAAGGUGGGGUUUUGUGACGCCUUUGUCUGGUUGUUGAACACAAACGAAGUACGCGAAGUUGCAGCUAUGGUGAACUUUUAAUCUAAACAAAACCCAAAGUCUAAAUGAUGCCCUAAGGGCUAUAUAUAUGGAGGAAGAGAGGGGAAUUUCGUGCCCUUGGUGGAGGGGUCCGAAAUCAACCCUAUCUCUUGUUUUCCCACACACACGGACUCUAAAAAUAGCCUAUACUUAUGUAUUUCGAAAUUACAUGGGCUUGGCCCAAUAAUAAGGUGAUGCAGCACCUAGAAUAGCCUCGGGACGAAAUUUAUGAAGUGGCAUCUUGUAUAUUUCGUCCAAGUCUUCAUGCACCCAUUAUGGUGGCUUCAAAGUCCUGAAAUCAUCGCUUGUAUCUCCGUUCUUGUUCCCCUUGCGCAUGCCAUCAUCUCCAUGCUUGUUCGUGCUCCAAUGUUCAUCCUUCUCCAAGCUAGGACCUUCAUUUGUAAGCAAAACAAAUGUAUCCAAUUUAGGCAGCAUCAUAUUCUCAUGAACAUUAGAAUCAUUACCAAGAAACAAAAGUACCUGAUAAUUCAAUUGGCGUGCACAAGCUCUAGUAAUUGUUCCAGUAUAUGUAGCAGUAGGGGUUGUGGGUGUAACAAUGGUAUUGAUGUCCUCAUCAUCCUCCCCUUCUUGAAAUGAAGUCGUCCUCAACGGAAGCUCAUCUUCCUCACCUAAAUAAGGCUUCAAAUCUGCAAUGUUAAAAGUGGGACUAACCCCAAAAUCUGCAGGCAGCUGAAGUUUAUAUGCAUUAUAAUUUAUUUUCUCCAACACCUUAAAAGGACCAUUAGCACGAGGCAUUAGCUUUGAUUUGUGCAAAUCAGGAAAUCUAUCCUUACACAAAUGUAACCAAACAAGAUCUCCAGGUGCAAACACAACAUGUUCUCUAUCCUUAUCUCCAGCAAGUUUAUAUUUAACAUUCAUACGCUCAAUGUUUUCCUUAGUUAACUCAUGCAUUUUUAAAAUUAAUUCAGCACGUUGUUUAGCAUCAAAAUUAACCUUAUCCGAAGAUGGAAGAGGCAACAAAUCAAUAGGUGCACGAGGUAAGAAACCAUACACAAUUUCAAAAGGGCACAUCUUAGUAGUAGAAUGCAAUGAACGAUUAUAAGCAAAUUCAAUAUGAGGCAAGCAUUCUUCCCACAUUUCCUUAUUAUUCUUCAAAACAGCCCUAAGCAUAGUAGACAAUGUUCUAUUGACUACUUCAGUUUGUCCAUCAGUUUGGGGGUGACAAGUAGUACUAAAAAGCAGUUUAGUCCCCAACUUAGCCCAUAAACAUCUCCAAAAGUGGCUAAGAAAUUUAGUAUCACGAUAUGAAACAAUAGUAUUUGGCACACCAUGCAAGCAAAUAAUUUCACAAAAGAACAAAUCAGCAACAUUAACAGCAUCAUCGCUUUUAUGACAUGGUAUAAAGUGUGCCAUUUUCGAGAAUCUAUCCACGACAACAAAUAUGUUAUCCCUCCCCUUCUUUGUUCGAUGUAAACCUAAAACAAAGUCCAUGGAUAUAUCCUCCCAAGGAACACUAGGUACAAGCAAAGGCAUAUAUAAACCAUGAGGAUUGAGUCGUGACUUAGCUUUUUGACAUGUAGUGCAGCGAGCAACAAAGCGCUCAACAUCCCGUCUCAUCUUUGGCCAAAAGAAAUGUGUAGCAAGUACGUCCUUUGUCUUCUUCACGCCAAAGUGUCUCAUUAAUCCUCCUCCAUGCGCCUCCUGCAACAACAAAAGACGAACGGAGCUAGCUGGAAUGCAUAGCUUGUUAGCACGGAACACAAAACCAUCAUUACCGACGAACUUGUUCCAUGUUCUACUUUCGUUACAAUUCUGCAAUACAUCUUUAAAAUCAGCAUCAUGCACAUAUUGAUCUUUGAUGGUCUCCAAACCAAAUAUUUUGAAGUCAAGUUGUGAAAGCAUAGUCUAGCAACGAGAUAAUGCAUCAGCAAUAACAUUUUCUUUACCCUUCUUGUGUUUAAUGACAUAAGGGAAUGCCUCAAUGAAUUCAACCCAUUUAGCAUGUCUACGAUUCAGUUUAGCUUGACUUUUAAUACGUUUCAAAGAUUCAUGAUCAGAGUGUAUAACAAAUUCUUUGGGCCAUAAAUAAUGUUGCCAUGUUUCUAAAGUCCGAACAAGAGCAUAUAAUUCUUUAUCAUAAGUAGAAUAAUUCAGACUAGGCCCACUCAAUUUUUCAGAAAAGUAUGCAACAGGUUUGCCAUCUUGUAAUAACACACCUCCUAAUCCAAUUCCACUAGCAUCACAUUCAAGCUCAAAAGUCUUAUCAAAAUCAGGAAGUUGGAGUAAAGGAGCAUGUGUCAACCUAUCUUUCAAUACCGUGAAGGCUUCUUCCUGUGCGGUACCCCAAAGAAAAGGCACAUAUUUCUUUGUAAGCUCAUUGAGAGGUGCAGCAAUGGUGCUGAAAUCUCUCACAAAACGCCUAUAGAAUCCAGCGAGGCCAAGAAAACUCCUCACUUGUGUGACCGUUUUGGGCUGCGGCCAACUCUCAAUAGCUUCAAUCUUGGCUUUAUCAACUUCAAUUCCCUGUGGAGUAACAACAUAGCCAAGAAAAUAUACUCGGUCGGUGCAAAAGGUGCACUUCCCAAGGUUACCAAACAAACGUGCAUCACGUAAAGCAAUAAAAAUAGCAUGUAAAUGUUCCAAAUGUUCCUCCAAAGAUCUGCUAUAAAUCAGUAUAUCAUCAAAAUAGACUACCACAAAUCGUCCAAUAAAAGCACGUAAAACUUCGUUCAUUAAUCUCAUGAAAGUACUAGGUGCAUUAGUUAACCCAAAAGGCAUGACUAACCACUCAUAUAAUCCAAACUUAGUUUUAAAUGUCGUUUUCCAUUCAUCUCCCAAUUUCAUUCGAAUUUGAUGGUAUCCACUAUGCAAAUCAACUUUGGAGAAUAUUGUAGAGCCACUCAAUUCAUCAAGCAUAUCAUCUAGCCUAGGAAUAGGAUGACGAUAACAAAUAGUAAUAUUAUUAAUGCCUCUACAAUCAACACACAUACGUGAUGUACCAUCCUUUUUCGGCACUAGAAUAAUAGGAACAGCACAAGGACUAAGGGAUUCGCGUAUAUAACCUUUGUCGAGCAGCUCCUAUACUUGCCGCAUAAUCUCCUUCGUCUCCUCUGGAUUGGUACGGUAUGGUGCACGGUUGGGUAAUGAUGCACCAGGAAUUAAGUCAAUCUGAUGCUCAAUCCCUCGAAUGGGAGGUAAUCCCGGUGGCAUGUCUUGUGGAAAGACGUCAGCGAACUCCUGCAAAAUGUUAGUGACAGCAGGAGGCAAAGAGGAAGGCACGUCCUCAAAUGAAAAUAAUGCCUCUUUGCACACAAAAGCAUAGCAAACAGAUUUGCUGAAAUCUAGCUCAUCAAUAUCAGAUUUAGUGGCAAGUAAACAUGCACUUUUCAAUUUAAUUUCAGAAACAACACUAGAUGGUUUACUAUUAGGCUUCAUUUGUUGCUCAAAUUCUUUUGCCACAAUCUGAUUUUCACUCUUAUUGGUCUCCUGUUUUGCUUUAUUAGCUCUAUUAAUAUCAUCUUUCAAAAUGGAAUCAGGAGUCAUAGGAAGCAAGUAAUAUUUUUAUCCUUAUGAACCAGAGUAUAAUGAUUGUUUCUACUAUGGUGUACAGAAUUUUUAUCAAAUUUCCAUGGUCGACCAAGUAAUAAGGAACAUGCUUGCAUAGGUACCACAUCACAAUCAACAUAAUCAGCAUAUGUAGAGAUACUAAAAUGCACACGAAUAGUACGUGUUACCUUAACCUUGCUGCUGUUGUUGAACCAUUGGAUGUAGUAAGGAUGUGGAUGUGGUCUUGUGGUGAGAGAUAGCUUCUCCACCAUAUCCAUGCUAGCCAAGUUGUUGCAGCUCCCUCCGUCUAUGAUGACGCGCACAGAACGUUCCUUCACAACUCCCUUUGUAUGGAACAAAUUGUGCCUCUGAUUUUGCUCAGCUUGUGUGACCUGCACACUCAAAACAUGUUGAGCAACUAAACAUUCAUACCUGUCAGCGUCUUCAGGAGCCAUGUAUUGCGUCUCAUGAUCAAAAUCAGCUCCACCGUGUUCUUCACUUGUAAUAAGCGCCAAAGUCUCCUCAUCAUAGUCACUAGCGGACUCAUACCCACCAUCCUCAGUAGCAAUCAUCACACGCUGAGAUUUGCAUUCUCUCGCAUAAUGACCUCUUCCCUUACAAUGACGACAAAUAAUAUCACUUGUGUGCCCUGUUGAUGCCAUGUAAGUAGAAGAGCUCUGUGCAGGCCCGACAGGUGCGCUCUUGGCAGAUAGUGGUGGUUGUGCCUGCUUUCUUGUAUCACGGCUGUAGGUGCCACCUGAUGGAGGUGCUGGUGCAGUGGAAGUAGAAGAUGCACGCGGUGUCCAUGAUGAAGGUCGACCUACAGAAAAGUUAGUUCGCGCCAAUGCCUAUCGAUCCUGCACUUCAUGUUCAGCUUUACAAGCAAGAUGGAAUAAACAAGUGAUAUUAGUAUACUCCUUAUACUCUAGAAUGGUCUAAAUCUCUCUAUUUAAUCCACCCAUAAAACGUGCAAGCAUAGCUUCAUUCUCCUCAACAAUACCACAUCUAAUCAUGCCAGUUUGUAAUUCCUGAUAAUAUUCUUCUACAGAAUUUUUCCCUUGUCUUAAACGCUGCAAUUUUUGAAGCAAUUCACGUUGAUAAUAUGGUGGAACCCAACGAGUACGCAUAGCAGUUUUCAAAGCAGCCCAAGUAGUUGGAAUGGGAUAUAAUCUACAAUGUUCAGACCACCAUACACAUGCAAAACUAGUGAAAGCACAAACAACAACAGCAACCCGUCUCUCCUCGGGAUAUUGUAAACAUGUAAAACAUUGUUUAGUUUCUAACUCCCAAGUAAGAUAUAUAUCAGGAACAUAUCUACCCUCAAAUGGUGGAAUAUUCAAUUUUAGUUUAGGAAUAUGGUCAUUAUCUCGUACCUGAGGUGGUGGUGCAGGCCUGCCAUUGCGAAUAUAUACCUGAGGUCGACCUGCUGGUGGUGGUGCUGGUGGCUACACGUAGUUCUGAUUUUGAUCAACCUCAUCCUCGUAAUAGUCCUCCACCUCUGCAGUAACAGCAGGAGCUACAGAAGCACCAACAGCAGUAGCAGCGGCACCAGAAUUUUGUCCUGGCUCAAUAGGAACAUGCUGUGCUCGCCCUACUAUAUCGCGGCGUAGAGCUGGUUGUGGGAGACGUUUGAGUAAUUCAUCAAACUUAGCGUCCAACUUGGUGUCAAUUGAUUUCUCAAUGUCAUCCAUCUUCUCCAUUGCCUUUCCAAAGCUGGCCAUCACGUCUUCCACCUGUUGACCCAACAUUUGAUGAAACUUAUCAUGAAGCUCCUUGUUUGUCAUGUUCUCCCAGUCAAUCUCGUCGGCUUGUGUUCCUGCCAUAGUUAGCAGCAAUAGAAACAUACAAGAAUAUGAUCCUACAAACUACUGGAAUAUGGUGGUGGUGGGGUGUCACAAAUCCGUCAAGCGAAUCUCAAAUUCUUACCAGUUCUUACCGAGCAGCAGGUGGUGAUCGGCAACCGUUGUAGUCAAAACUCUCAAAGCUUGGAUAGAGCGAUUACUAGGGAGAGUCAAACGCACGACGUAGAUGUAUGUGGAGCUGGGAAGGCUUAUAAUAUGGUAGCAAAAAGGGUCAACAAUAAUCAAUUCAGAGAUGCAAAGUUGAAUAAACGCUCAACGACGGUACUGUGCUGGUCCUAGGCUAGACCGUGCUAGAGACGCGAGCCUAGAACACUAACAAAAUCACGGCGCGACACGUAAUCAAGGGAGGAGCACACUCUGAUUUUUUUUUUCACUUUUUUCCUCUUUUUUUUUGCUCCGCAACAAUUUUUUUUUGAAAAAGUCUACAAAUGGCCUAAAAACUGCCUUGCCAGAAUUUUCCAGACUUAGUUUUUUUUUGAAACUGGAACUAUUUUUCUUGUAUGGGUAGCACGGAAGUUGGGGAAUCCGACUUGUUGAAGAUUCGUAGUAUCGCGUGCUGUGGAACUCAAAGAUAAAGGAACAAAUACUGGACUCGGACUAGGACUAAUGGCGGAGAUGAAUCUGGUGGAACUUGCACUGGUGAUGGUAUAUGACGGUGGUAUAUGUGGACUCGGAUGGGUGGUGGUAUAUGAACACGGAUUGGUGGUGGUAUAUGGACUCGGAUUGUGGUGGUAUAUGGACUCGGAUUGGUGGUGGUAUAUGGACUCGGAUUAGUAGCGGAGAAGCAGUGGUGGUAUAUGGCAGGGCGAUGAUGAUGGUGCGGCGGCAACGUGAAUACCCGUGAACAGAACUCGAAACUCUAAAGACUAGACGCUAAGACCAGCAACUUGACACGAUGAAGCAACCGCAAAUUCAACAACGCAAAUACAGAAAAGAUUAUGCAAAGGCCCAGAUUGGUUCGGAUAGGAUGAACUAACCCUAAUUUUUUUGGCUUUUUCGUGGACUAUAGGUAUGAAGAAACAAACUCGAUCUAAACUACGAAAAACUGUAAAAUCUCACCGAGCAACCUGAAAAUCUUAUACCACUUGAUAGAGGCAAAGGUGUCCCAUCUUUUGAUGAGAUGAUGGAUUUCGCUUUGGUGGAAGUCGACUUUGACGAUCCGACUACAAAUGUGCGAGGACGUCGCGCCUUAGCAAUCGCUAAACCAACUCUGAGAGGUUAUUGACCAUGUCGGAGCACGAUCAACCUGACCACGAGGGUCUGUUUCCUGCGAGCAAAUGAAGAACAAGCAAGAAACUGAGAUUGCAAUCUAGAUAUUGCGAAUAUAAGAUGAAAGGUUUAUUGAUCAAGGUGGGGUUCUGUGACGCCUUUGUCUGGUUGUUGAACACAAACGAAGUACGCGAAGUUGCAGCUAUGGCGAACUUUUAAUCUAAACAAAACCCAAAGUCUAAACGGUGCCCUAAGGGCUGUAUAUAUGGAGGAAGAGGGGGGAAUUUCGUGGCCCUUGGUGGAGGGGUCCGAAAUCAACCCUAUCUCUUGUUUCCCCACACAUACGGACUCUAAAAAUAGCAUAUACUUAUGUAUUUCGAAAUUACAUGGGCCUGGCCCAAUAAUAAGGUGACGCAGCACCUAGAAUAGCCUCGGACAAAAUUUAUGAAGUGACAUCUUGUAUAUUCCGUCCAAGGCUUCAUGCACCCAUUAUGGUGGCUUCAAAGUCCUGAAAUCAUCGCUUGUAACUCCGUUCUUGUUCCCCUUGCGCAUGCCAUCAUCUCCAUGCUUGUUCGUGCUCCAAUGUUCAUCCUUCUCCAAGAUAGGACCUUCAUUUGUAAGCAAAACAAAUGUAUCCAAUUUAGGCAGCAUCAUAUUCUCAUGAACAUUAGAAUCAUUACCAAGAAACGGAAGUACCUGAUAAUUUAAUUCACGUGCGCGAGCUCUAGUAAUUGGUCCAGUAUAUGUAGCAGUAGGGGUUGUGGGUGUAACAAUGGUAUUGAUGUCCUCAUCACUUGUCAUAUGGAUGCUAGUGACACUGUCAUAUAUGUGUGCCAAAAGGCGCAAACGGUCCCGCGCAAGGUAAGGCGACACAUGUGGGAAUACCGUGCGUGAGGCCGCAAAGUGAUAUGAGGUGUUACAUGCUAGAUCGGUGUGUCUUUGAGUCGGGGUCCUGACAGCUUUGGUAUCAGAGCCUGACUGCUUGUAGCAUUACCAAGCCAAACUGGUCGAAGUUGAGUCUAGAAACUAUUUAGUUAUAUAAGGGAAUUGAUUGUGGGAUGGAACGUAAGGCUCUUUUUACUCCUUUACCUUAUGCCCUUCUAAUCUGAGUCAUCAUAUCUUUCCUACGGGGUUAAGGAAAUAGGCUUUCUCUUCUUUCUAUCAGGAUCACAUGUUACUAAUCCAUAGACUUAUAAGAUUGGUAAAUUCAAGCCUCAGUUCAGUUCCUACUAUCUCCGUGUAUUCAUAGUUGAUCUCAGAACCUUGUUAUUAUGAUGAUCGAGUGGUUAUGCCACCAUUUUUGUAGCUUGUCUCAAAUAUUUUUGAGCCUUUACAGUCGUUAUGCUGUCUGAGUCGUCCUAGGUUUCUAAACAAUCUGAUGCAUUUGCAAAAUCCUUUCCCUCUGGUUUUGAUGUUCCUUUAGGCCAGGUUAAUCACACUAAUUGUUGAGUUGAGCUAUUCUAUUGCCUCGACAUAUAUGUUGGAAUUAUUAUUAUGACCCUAGGUGUCUUAGGGAGUCACCUAGUAAUCUAGCAAUGCUUUGUAUUCCCAGUGUGAUGAUUCUGGCCAUCAUUCUUGAAAGCAUCCCGUGAUGCCACUUAGCUAGUAGGCAUUGUAUUCCUGGGUUCUUGACCGAAGAUUCACUCUACUUACCUCGUGUUGAUAGUGUUGCUCGUACCUUUAGGAUAUUAGUAACCUUUGUGAUAGUCUUCAAGGUCUGUGGUAUAUCAUUCUUACAAAUACCAUGAACCAUCCUUGGCAGAAGUUCCUCAUUGAACCAAAAGAUCACAACAAGAGUGCUCUCGAUGAGUUCCCCAUUCUAUAUUGUGACUCUGCCAAUCCUAGCUCUUUGCAUGGGUUAUCCGGAAGAAAUAUGCUGAAUUUGUUCGGCAUACUAAUCCAUGCAUCCACAACUCAGAAAGGCAUAUGUUCCUUUGAGUUGUCCCUCUUUAGUUGUCUUCUGACCUUCGCCUAUCAAUUGAUAGUCAAGAGUAUGCGUGCCUUCGUUCAUUGAUGCCUAUUACUCUUGUGGUCCGUCAAGCCAUUCUAUUCCGGAAUGACUAGGAGAAACAAACUCCAGUACCUCAUCCAUAUCCAGGAUUGGGUCAAAGUAGUUGAGCUCCGCAGAUCAAUGCCAGUCCAGCUUUUGUUCUAUUCUACCCUGGAGUAUUACCCCCUUUAUGUUAGGAUUGUCGUGAGAAUUGCACCUUAUCUUAUGAAUUCUUGAUGCAGUGAUACUUCUCACCAUCAUUAUUCAUUCCUCGGUCCCCGUGUUGUUGAACCGGAAUGCCGACAAGUGAACUAUGAUGUGUGAAAUCAAUACUCCUAGCAACCGUGUUGCUUGGUAGUUAAUGGACAAUAAUUUCAUUCUUAGCGUGUUGGUUAUUGAAUCAUCAUCCUAAGGUUGAUCGUGCUACCUAGUCCAUAUUUCCUGGUGCACUCUUCGAUCGAUGAGUUAGGAUUGUGUCAAUCUCUCGCUCUUUCGAUCAUAUCGUCUUGCCCUGAAAAGCAAGAUAGCUCCCGAGCUUAAUAACAUUUCGGUGGUUCGCGAUUUUCCGAUUAUCUUCUCGGAAGUAUCACCAGGUUGUCACCUGGCCGCUAUGUUGAGCUCGUGAUCAAGUUGGUUUCUUGUAGCCAUCCCUUUCUCCAAGAAUCUGUGUUGGAUACCCCUGAGCUAGUUGGUUAAGCUACACAACAACUUGGAGAGUUGGAAGAUAAAAGCUUGCCUAACAUAGUUCGUUCCAAAGAGAUAUCCUUCUGUUUGUGUGUUAGUUGAAGAAAGAUGAUAUUUUCAUUGGUCCCUGUGAUCAGUUGUUGGACCUAUUGCCUUAUCAAAACUUUGAUUUGAGUGUGGGCUAUCGUCAAAUCAAGUUAGAACCAAUGAUAUUUGUAAUGUUGUCUUACUCGUGGUUGAUUCCUCGAGCAUACACCAUUACAUCUUUUGGUCUGACCAAUACUAUCACAUUGUUCACAUAAUGGUGGAAGUCCAGUGAUAUGGAAAAUCCGAUGAGUUGUUGUUGAGCCCCUCAGCAACAUUUUAUCUCCUCCAUAAUUCAUGAUGAACAUCAGGCUAGUGUUGGAAACUUGUGUAAGCAUUAUCUUCGUGUUCCAUUCAUGAGAUAUAUGUUCGGAAGAGAGAAGUGACUUCCUCUAAUUCACGUGCACUUGGUGUAAGUUGCUGCCAUGGAUCCGAGAAAGAUUGUUUUGUUUCCUUUGGAAGCAUCCCAAGUCAGUCAUGCAUGUGCAAAGUAUACUAUGGUUUGGUAGAUUAAUUACCUCCACUCCAUAUGUAUCCCGUAGCACACCAAGCCACUGAUUGAUUUGUUCAAGGAGAAGAAGCUCCUUCUUAAGAAUCAUGACUUAUGUUAGGACUUUGUUAUCCUCGUUGAUGGUUUUCCUCCUGAACUCGAUAGUGUUUUGUUGUAAGACUACCAUGUGAUCAUGUUUGUCUGGGACAACAUGUUCACAUAUUUGUAGCAGAACCAGCUCAUGUUUUGGAGCUUGCUAUCGCAGUUCAUUCCCCGAGAAUCACACAACACCGUCUCGUCGAUUUGUAUUGCAAACUUCCAUUUCCUUUCUAGACUUGAUGAGUCUGGAAUAUUCGGACACCAACCAGACCAAAAUCUCAGGCAGAUAUGAUGGUUGGGACGUGUUCCAAGAAUUAUAAUAUUGGUCUCUCUAUAACCUGGUAACGUGGAUGUCGUGGCCAACGCACCUAGCCGGAAGGCCUAUUAUUGUAGUAUCUUGGUUGAAGAAGUUGACCACCUCCCCAUAGGGAUUUCGUAGGAUUUACUCCCUAGUUGUCCCUUAUGGAUUUUGGGUUUCCGAAGUAUGACCUUUUACUUGCUGUUCUAGAUAUCAAACCAUAUCUAUGAAUGGGAUACGCUAGUACAUCAAGGAGAAUAUUAGAAGUGGAGUGUUAAAUGUCUCUCGGUCGAUCAUCCAGAUUUUGUUCCCUUGGCUUUGCAAGGGUGAAAUCUGAGAAAGUGUUGUCUUCCUUUCCAUCUGCAUCGUCCAUCACUAUUCAUCAUGGUAGUAUGAUGUGUUGCCAGGAUCCUCGGCACGGAUAUUGGUAAAACUUUGAUGAAUAUGGAAAUGCUCAAGUUCUUGAGAGCACGCACAAGCACCAGGUGUUAUCAUCAACACUAACUGGGAUUGCUCCCAGCUUCCUCGAUUAUGCUAUAACCAUUCCCACAGUGGAAUCAAUCUCUACUGUUGAGUUUCUCCCUAGUUACCAGAAUCAUUCCCAGCAUUUGCAUUUUGUUCCUAGCUUGCACCGCCAAUGUACCGUUCUACCGUGGGUCCCAUCCAUUUCCGAUGAUAAGCAAAAUCAUCCACUGCGUUGUCUUCAACAAGGUAAUCCACAUCAUCCAUUCCAGUCCGGGUAUGUCAUUCAUCCGAACCACUCCAAAUGGUCGCUAGAGAAUUGCCCUAGGCUGGUUUAGAGAGUCUCAAUGAUCUCUAUAUCAAAGGUAAUUCUUUUUGCUACUCAAGGUAAUAAUCUACGAAUCACCCUCCUCCAGGAUAUCUUGUUAUGGUAUCAUGGCAACUCAACUCCUCGCUACGUUGACAACCGUUCACCACCUUCUUAAGCGUAAAAUUGAUGUCUACCUAGUGAACCUUCGUCAUCUGCUUCACUCCAUUCCUUUGGAUGUGUGCUUUGUGUCUCAGCUCAUGAGAUGUUCCUAUGUCUCAUUCCGUGAGUUGAUCCUGAGUUGCUCGAUCUUCGAGAAGAUCGAUCCUUCUAGAGUUUCUUUUCCCUCUUGUUGUCAUGUGGUAAGAGUUCCUGGAGCAAGAUAUCGAGACAAAGAUGGUGAUCGAAUCAACGUUCUUAUGAAGUGCACCUUGGAUCAUGAAGAUCGUGGUAGCUUGUGACCCUCUGACUUCUUACCUCACGUCUUGAAUCUCGGGACGAGAUUCUUGUUUAGUGGGGGUGAGUUGUCACAUCACUAGCUUCUGGCUUUGCAUUAGGCUAGCUUCAUGCAUGCAUCAUGUUUAAAUUUUAUUUAACUUGAAAUGGGGAUUGCUCAAACCCUAGCACCAGAUCAAAUCAACUAGGUUCAAAUAAAAAAAUAUUCUCAAUGAACCCAAAAUGCCUUCAGAAAAGUUCAUCAUUUUUGGAUUGGUUUAAAACCUCUGCCAAAAAUGGUGCACAUAUUUCUAGGUCCAUUUUGGAUUUUCGAAUUAAUUCAUAAAGUAUUUGAAUUUGGGCAUCUAAAUGCUAUAAAUAAUUUAAAUGCUCAAAUAAUUCUGAAACUAAAUAUGGGCUGUUGCAUAUAUUUCAGAAGGUGGCCACAAUUAUUUUCGGGAUUUUUAGAAGUGCUCUGGUAUUUUUAAUAAAGCCCAAACAACUACAAAAAAAUAGAAAACAGAAAGAGAUAAGAAAGAGAAAGAGAUAGGAAGCCCACCUGGGCCACUUACUUGGCCGGCCCAGCUGGCAGCCCAGCCAACAGGCCCAGCCCACCAGGGGCAGUGUUGUCUUCUUCCUCCUGCCAGGAGGAGAAGCAGCUGCGUGCCUGGCGCAUAGCCGAGCCGCGCCAGCUCCUCCCUGCAUGCCUGCCGCCUCCUCGACUCCUCCAGACGCGCCACGGAGACGCCCAGCACCCCCUGCACCAAUCUCCUCUCUCCCUGGACCUCUUUCCCCCCUCUGCUCUCUCCCUAUGACGCCACCGAACAUGCCCAUCGCCGCCGUUCGUCGUUGCCGCGACAACCAUCGUCCCGACGAUGCCCCGAACUGUUCCCGAGCUCCUGCACCUCGUCCCCAACCCCCUCACCGAGCCACGCGACUGGAAGACCCCCGAAGCACCGCCCCCGAUGUCUUGUUCCUCCUCGGGUCUCCGAGAUCGCCGGUGGCCAUGUGUUGAUUCACUAGAACCAGGACCUCCCCGAGCCCGGCGAGCUAUUCUUCGAGAUCGUUGUGAGCUCCUCUUCCUUUCCCCUCAUAUUCCAUGGUGAUUUUCGUUCGUUAGCUCGAUUUCCGCCAUCGCCGAGAGCUCCCGUCGCCGAGUUGCAUCGCCGCCGUGGCCUGAGCUUGACCUGCUCUCGUCCGAGCAUGCAGUAGUGCUCCAGGAGCUCCCAUGGUGCUCAUGCGCUACUCACCUGCUGGAUAGCAAGCUGCAACCCCGCGCACGAUCGAACCUGAGCCGCUGCCGCCGCUGAACCUCGUCGCUGGCCACUCUUCCGGCGACUCCAGCACCAACCGCCACCACCCCUAGAUGCGCUGCACUGCCAGCUUUCCAACGGGACCGACCGCGCCCCGAACCACCCCUUGUAUGUGAAACCCGAGCCUCUCCGGCGAGCAACCGCCGCGGAAUGUGGUCACCGACGAGUAACCCCGGUGACCGCUGACAUGGCGCCACCAUUAGCCACUAAUGACCCUACUAACUAAAACCCUAACCCACUUACAUAUGGGCCCCACGCCCUUAAUUAACCAUAGUUUAAUUUCUGUUUAGUUUUAGCUAAUCAUAGUGGCCCACGCGUCAGCAUUGACCUUGCUGACGUGGCCAUUGACCAACCCCACCUGCCAGUGACCCGGGGCAGCACUGUGUCAUUGACCAGUGGGACCCACUGGUCAGAUUUGACCCAGCUGACCUCUGUUGACCUGCUGAUGUCAUGCUGACACAGUGCUGACGCAAUAUUCCUUUUCUGGAAUUUAGCUUAAUUUCUAAAUAAUCAGGAAAAUCCAGAAAAUGUUUAAAACUUCUAAAAUUCAUAUAAAAUCAACCGUAACUCCAAAUGAAAUAUUUAUAUAUGAAAAAUGAUCAGAAAAAUACAAUCUAUCCAUCUGUACCAUUUGCAUGCAUGUUUGAGCAAGUUAACUUCACUGUUUAAGAUGAAGCAUGAAUAGGACAACUUUGAUAAUAGUUUUGGAGUUGGAAUUGAUGUAGUUUUGAAUUCCACUUCAAUCAAAUGACUUGCUGUUGCAUUAGCCCAAAUCACAGCAUAUUGCCAUGUCAUGAGCAUGCAUCAUAUUGUUGCAUUGCAUUGAUUGUGUUUCCUUCUCUGUUGCCGGCAAUUGUCCCCUCUCAGUAGACGUGGUUCCGACGAUGAGAUCGAUGACACCGAUGAAGAGAUAUACUAUCUUCAGAAGUGCCAGGCAAGAAAAAACCCCUUGUUCAUUCUGAUACAAUCCCACUCUCUCGCUCCUGCUCUCUUUUACUGCAUUAGGACAACAAUGAUUCAUCGGUUACAUGCUGCGGUAGCUGAACCCCUUUCCUCUGCAUGACCUGUCAUUGCCACAGUAAAUAAAUGAAACCCACUAGCAUGAGUAGGAGUUGUUUGAGCCCUGUUGUGCCUACUCAUACUUGCUUGUUUGUCAUGCCUGCUACUACUUAGAGUUGAGUCAGGUCUGAUUCAUCAGGGAUGAAUUGGAACAGUGAUGAACAUGUCCUACUAUGUGUGAGCUAAGUGUGUGAACACGAUUUGGUAAAGGUAGCGAUGAGAGGACAUGUAGGAGUACAUGGUGCGUUGUCUCAUUGAAACCGUCCUCAGGAACUGAGUUCUGUGUUGCAAUCCAUGAACAGUUACUACCACACAUUGGGUUCCGAUAACUCGAACCCUCUCGACUUAUUAAUCAACUCGAUCUCUGUCUAGGAGUUGCAACUAGUUUCUGGUGUUUGUAGGUGGUGUUAGUAGUCUGCCAAGUGGCACCCGGUACAGGUGGGCUUGGGACAGACUGGGCACAAUGGCACGGUGUACCAAGUGGCACCUGGAUGGUUGGCUUGGGAACCCUGCACACAUCGUUUGGGGCCGUGUGCGACACCCCGGCCGGAUCUCCUUGCGGAAGGAACCCGAAUAGGCGAUAAGCCUGGACGAGAGACUUGUGUGGUUAGUCAGGUCGUGGCCGACACCCUCGCUGGGCUUCCGCUUGAAGGUUGCCGAGUACAUGUCGUGUAAACAGCGAUAAGUGGUGAGAGCGUGUGUGAAGAAGUACACCCCUGCAUGGCUAACAUUAUCUAUUUGAAUAGCCGUAUCCGUGGUAAAGGACUUCUGGGUUGCCUGUACAGUUCAUAGACAAGUGAAAGUGGAUACUCUAAAAUACGCAAGAUAAGCAUGAGUGCUAUGGAUGGCGUUCUCGUAGGGAGACGGAGCAGAUCCAUAGUGGCGUAUUGAAAUGGUGAAUAUGUGGACUCGUGUGCACCACCUCAAAAGAGUUACUUGCAGUCGUAGUUCAGGAUAGCCACCGAGACAAAGCUAGCUUGCUGCAGUCAAACCCCACCAACCCUUUGUUGAUAAUGAUGCAUAUGUAGUUAGAUCUGAUGUAAGUCUUGCUGGGUACAUUUGUACUCACGUUUUCUUAAUUUAUGUUUUUUGCAGAGAGACUUCAGUCUCGCUAGUAGUUCCGCAUAGACUUCGACGUUUAGUUUGUUACCUCAGCUACGAUCUUGUGCCCUUGGCAGGAUCUGGUAGAUAGUUAGGCUUCUAAGCGUCUUUCAUUUGUAGAUGUCUGUACUCAGACAUGUUAAGCUUCCGUUUUGUGCUUUGACUUGUGUGAUCUGAAUGUUGGGUCAUGAGACCCAUGUUUGUAAUAUCUCGCUCCUCGGAGCCUAUUGAAUAAGAUACUUGAGUUGUAGAGUCAUGUUGUGAUGCCAUGUUGUAUUUGCACAUAUCGAGCAUAUUGUGUGUAUGCUAUUGAAAUGCUUGGUAUGUGUGGGAUCUGACUAUCUAGUUGUUUAUCCUUGGUAGCCUCUCUUACCGAGAAAUGUCUCCUAGUGCUUCCACUGAGCCUUGGUAGCUUGCUACUUCUCCGGAACACUUAGGCUGGCCGGCAUGUGUCCUUCUUCGUUCCUGUGUCUGUCCCUUCGGGGAAAUGUCUCGUGGUGUCUACCGGAGUCCUGUUAGCCUACUACAGCCCGGUUUAUCGGAGUCCUGCUAGCCCAGUUGCUAUAGCCCGGAUUCACUCGCAAAUGACCGACACGUUCGUUGUUGGGUCAUGUAUGCACGUCCCUGUAAGUUAGUGCCACUUUGGGUUCACGACUAGCCAUGUUAGCCCGGGCUCCUUGUCAUAUGGAUGCUAGCAACACUAUCAUAUACGUGUGCCAAAAGGCGCAAACGGUCCCGGGCAAGGUAAGGCGACACCCGUGGGAAUACUGUGCGUGGGGCCGCAAAGUGAUAUGAGGUGUUGCAUGCUAGAUUGGUGUGGCUUUGAGUCGGGGUCCUGACAUGAUUACUGGUCUAGUUAUCGAUUGCCUAGGGACAAAUGACUUUCUUGUUGACAAAAGCUAUCCACUUUUAUUUCCUUGCAAUUUAUCCAUAGUUUUAUUCUCGCAACAUACUCAUAGUUUUAUUCUUGCCAAAUAGUUUUAUACUUGUUCUAGGUAAAGCAAAUGUCAAGUGUGUAUAGAGUUGUAUUGGUGGUCGAUAGAACUUGAGGGAAUAUUUGUUCUACCUUUAGCUCCUCAUUGGGUUCGACACUCUUAUUUACCGAAGAAGGCUAAAAACGAUCACCUAUACUUGUGGGUUAUCAUUGCCCCCUGGGUGUCUCCGUAUUGAACCCAUCCUUAAUUCUUUCAUCGUGCUUGGUCCUAGGUUGCUCCAAUACACUUGUAGACACAAGAAAACAAAGAAAACUAAUAAAAACCAAAUAAAUACACAAAUGUCCAGUGCUCACAAUGAUAAGUGCAAAGCCGGUAAUCAUGUAUAAUGGCACAUAUUUGGUUCGAUGGGACGUAAUAUAUGAAGAGAACAUGCAACAAAUGAGCUCUAAAAAUGCAUGCAAUAUAGAGCCAUCAACCUCCCCACGCUUAAACCUUGCUCGUCCUUGAGUAAGAAGGUUAACUACCAAAAGAUCACUAUUACCAACUCUAAAGAUUACAUUUAACCACAUCCCAAAAAUUAUAUCCAUAUUCAUCGUGCAAGCAUACAAAAGUUGACUAGCAAGGGAGUAAUACAAGCUACCCCCUUAGUCCCAUUGCCAUGGAGGUUGAGAAAGAAGAAAAUAGUUUUGUGGAGCCCAAAUUCCAAGUGCCAAAGAUUUAGAGAGAAGGUUAAUAUUAUGUUAGGAACACAACCGUGCCUAUCAUAGACAAAAGAAACCAUGCAUUAGCUAUCGCUUCAAAAGCACCAACCAGAGGCAUACCAGGUACAAUAGCAAUGUUUGUCUGCAUUAUUCAACCGCUCAACUACCUAUGAAGCAAUGAGCACAAGCCCAUGCUCACACUUAAGGUACAAUAGCAAUGUUUGUCUGCAUUAUUCAAUAGCAAUGAUUGGGGUUUUGAGAAGUCAAAAACAUAGAAAGUCUUGAAUCAACGCAGUGGCCAUUAGGCUAUGGAGAAGGCCUUAUGAUUGAUGUCAAUGCAAAGAGUAGUGAUCGCCAUGCAACUAGGAUGCACAUGGAGCUAUGAAUAUGUGAAAGCUCUCCUAUGGACUAAGUGGGGGCAUCCAACUUUGUCGGCGUUCUAGGAAUGGGGGUCCCCAGACUUGCCUGCCUGCGGCCUGCAGCGUGGCUCAAGUGUAGGCCCAGUACGGGCCAUCUUCAUCAACGCAAACUCAAGACCCUCGCGAGGGGCCAAGCCUCGUGGGGCGGACGAUGCAAGGCUUCCUCAGGAGCAGCCUCACCAGGAAGGCUCGCAAGGAGGUGGAGAGAUCAAGGCAAGGGUACCUCGCGAGGUGCCUGUGACGCAAGCCAUGACGAUCGAGACCAGGUGGGCGCCAGGCGAGCACCGGCCUGCGCAGUGUCCUUGUUUCCUCUUUGGUGCAAAGGGGGCAAGCACAGGCGUGGAGUACCGAGGCAUCAGGCAAAGGUUACCAUUUCGGUGCAACAAGACCAGGACCAGUAGAGCGGUAGGAUGGAGGUCACCGUGGAGCCCAAGACGGCGUCAUUGCCAGUGCCUUUGGCAUUCGAAGAUCAACUUUAGUCAGGAUAGCUUGUACUAGAUGUUCCCCUUCAAAAUGGUCGUUGUUGGCUCCCUUCCCACUCAAUAUUUGGGAAGAGAACUAGGGCCUCUAUAUAGAGAGAUAGCCACCACAGUAGGAAGGCAUCGAGUUCUCACCAAGCCAACGGGGACCGAAUCUCUUCCUACGAGAACACCACACCAGCUCAAGAACACCUCUCGCGAGGCUGUUCUUCCCUUUGUAUCGUUCUUCAUCAACCCCUGAGGCAAUCCACCACACCACACACUGGAGUAGGGUAUUACACCACAACGGUGGCCCGAACCAGUAUAAAUCUUGUGUCCCGCGUGUUGUUCAUCGUUUAGCUUAGAUUCUCGCGAGGCAUUUGGACGUGGAUAGGUAGGGGGAAGAUCUUCGCGCGCACCCCAGAGUUCGAACCUUAAGGGUCAGCCGGAACCCAACAUCCGACAUUUGGUGCACUAGGUAGGGGUGCGCCGGAAUCUUUCUUCUGGUGUUCCGCGUUCGGUCAUCCGUCGUGUCCAUGGCUGACGCUCGCCGGGCUCGCGCCGAGCGUCGGGCCGCUCUUGCUUCCCGCGUCGCCCAGACGGCUCCCGUCGGUGGGUGUCCCCGUCCUCCCCCGUAGCAUGCCGCCAACGCCGCCACCGGCCCAGUGGGGAACGAGCAGCAGGCCUCGUUGAUGCAUCCCUCAGUGCGUCGGGAAGGCCGCACCGCCACCCCGUCGCUGACUCCAGCUGGUUCGUCGUUGCACGCCCGUCGCGCUCCCACGGACGUGCACGCCGCGUUGCUCCUGACGCGUGAGCUCCUGCACUACCGUCUCAUCGACGACCUCUAAGAGGAGUGGCUCGCUCGCAUCACCGAGCUCGUCAUUGCUGCAGGGGGAUCCCCUGCGUCGUCCCUCUCGCUGCCUCGUCCUCCAUCCUACGCGGGUGAUGCAGCUCAGGAGGUGCCUCCGCCACCUCCUCCCCAAGAAGGCGCCCUGGAUCCAAGGCGUGCGGCCCCUAGACAAUAUCCACCGCGUCCAUCACACGCAUGACAAGAAAGGAUGAUGAGGACAUGACUACCUUGGAUAUGACCAAAAAUAUUGCAUACAUGCAUAUUUGUCAGGUGAUUUCUAGUGCAAACUAUUCAAUAAUCUAUUUAUGUUAUGUAGAACAAACAUACUUCACACACUUUUGUGUUUUGUCUAAUUGCAUGUGUAUGGGACAUUUGUACAAUACACAUAUGAAGAUAAGGGAAAAGGAGAAGUUUAGGUGUUGUUCAAAAAGUCCUCUCACGUCACUUUUGGGUCAAGAGAAGAUAGAGUCCAAGUCUGUCACGUUCUGGAUUCAGAUUCGGACUGCACAGACAUACCUAAAUCAAAACGCCAAAAACUUUUUCAUACGGACUCCGAAUUGGGUGAUUCUUUUUUUUGUUGGACAGUAGAUUUCAUGCUCUUUCCAACCCAAUUGGAAUCACCUUAAAAUCCGUCCGGAGCGUUGAGUUAUGGACGAAACAAUCUGACGCUGCACCAGAAUCCGAGUCAAACUACAAGUCCAAAGGUGUUACGUCACCCCCACUUGGCCCAUUGGCCUUGUACGACCUAGGGUUAGUUGUAGGCUGCCUUGGGACGUCCUCCCACCUCCUUGGCCACCACCCCUUGCUCCUAUAUAAGUAGAUCCAUCUAGUAGCUUUUCCCUUGGGAUUUGUUUAGUUAAAAGUUAGCCAUUGCAACUUCGUGUACUUCGUUUGUGUCCAACAACCAGACCAAGACCGCUUACGGAUCCCCACUUUUAUCAAUACUUCAUAUAUACUCGCAAUAUUCAGAUUGUUUUUAUCAUAUUCUUGCUUGUUCUUCGAUUGCUUGCAGGAAUAGACCUUCGUGGUCAGGUUGAUUGUGCUCCGGCGUGGUCAAUAUCCUCUCGGAGUUGGUUUAGCGAUUGCUAAGGCGCAACGUCGUGCACGUUUGUAGUCGGAUCAUCAAAGUCAUCUUCACCAAAUCGAUAGUUAUCAUCUCAUCAAAAGAUCGGGACACCUCCGCCUCUAUCAAGUGGUAUCAGUUUUCAGGUUGCUCGGUGAGAAUUUCCAGUUUUCCUAGAUUUGAUUUAUUUUCUUACCUAUUGUCCAAGAAAAAGCCACACAAAAAAGUUAGAUCUAUUCAUCCUUUAUCCAAGCCAGUCUGAACCUUUGCAAUUUUCUAUUCAUUGCUUGCAUAGUUGAAUUAUCGGUUGCAUCGUCGUGUCAGUUGCUGGUCUUAGUGUCUAGUUCCUUUAGAGUUUCGAGUUCUGUUCACAUUAGUCACGCCGCCACUGCAUCAUUAUCCCUUCCGCUGUCCACCAUCCCAUCCAUUAAUUUCCACCACGUGCUACGCACUGUUCAUUGUCAUAAUCAUAGUUGAGGUCACUCACAUCUUCGCCUGAUCCAAUCUGCAUCUUAUCUAGUUUGUCUUGGAAAGAGGGUGAAAAAGAAGAUAGAGAAAAAAAGAGA